Molecule: long non-coding RNA, 62856 nt
Filed under: Fragaria vesca (wild strawberry)
Lineage: Eukaryota; Viridiplantae; Streptophyta; Magnoliopsida; Rosales; Rosaceae
Description: long non-coding RNA (FVES_LNC002305)
Source: RNAcentral
AACUAAUCCGAGAAUUUGAUGUACAUGUAGUUGAAGAAAACUCAAUGACACUCUUCUGAGUCACACUCACACCUACGCAAUUCAGCUUACGCCUGCAGACACAGUGAGUGACAUAUAUAGAUCGUGUUCUUGCUUUGUAGAGUUGAUUUGAACGAGUCUUAACUUCUCUCUCGUGGUCGCUGUCAUAUUAUAUAUAUCUGAUGCCAUUCCUUGAGAGCCUGAUCGAACUGAGUGAUCGAUCAGCACCAACUAUCUAUAAAAGAAUUGCAACAACUGCUACUGGUAGUGAUUAUGAUCUCAAAUGAGGAGAAGAACAAGUCCCAGAUCAGAAUCAGAAUCAGAGGAAGCAUGAAAUAAGGGAUUUUUGUACUCGUUCCUGGCUCGCCAGAUAUUAUGUUGAUUUUGAUAUAGACACGUUUAGGGUUUACUUAAAGUAUUAAGUAAGCUCUAUAUACAUACAUGCAUGAUGAUGAUCAUACGUCGACCCCAAGAAGUUAAUUGAAAUUGCCCUCCUAGCUUAAUAAUCCUUGUUUAAACCAAUGACAAUUAUGCAACAUACUAAAUUAUAACAUCAAUAACAAUUAGUCUCUCCCAUGAAAGGGAUGCCCGGGCUAGACUACUCGUUUGAGUGAGUCAAUUAAUUACUUUAAGAAAUCACUAGAUUAUCCAGGAGCUCAAAAUCUCCAAUCGAUUAUUAUUUUUUUAAUGAAAUAUGUCAUACUCUAUUAUUAACUCAGCAAGCAGUACAAGAACCGUUCCAUAGAAAUUACUACAAAUUCACCUAAAACAAAAAGAAUAAGAGCCCCGACUGAUAAAAUUUUUCCUAUUGUAGGGUCACCGAUUUCUCUAUUCCUUUUGCGAUCUCUCCCGCUCAUAAUUAGAUAAUAAAAAGCCCAUCAUUAAUUUGUAGAAAAAGGUGUGAGCCCAGAACAAAAAUAAAAAUUAAAAACAGAACAACGCUUAUCCAAGCCCAACAAGGCCCAAACAAUGGGAUCCAGUUGGAAACCCUAUGUUGCCGCCGUCAAUCCCCGCCCAAGCUGACGCCGCCGCCGUUGCCGUGCUCACAUUUUGAAACCCGACACCAGCAACCAACCCAAGCACGUGGUUUUGCACUCCAAGCACAACACCAUUAGCAAUGCCACCGCCAUGAGAGAGGAGAUAGAAAACUCCGGCCGGGUUUCCAAACACCACCGAUCGAGCCUAACGUCACCCACAUGAGGGUCCUGAAGCGAUUCAGUUAGCCUCACACCGUCGCCGACCUUGUCACCCAUAUGAAGAUACUGAGGGAAACAACCAUCCCGAUCGAUAUUACUCACCGCAUCGUUGACACACCUCCCAUAGUCGACCAGGUCCAAAGGAUCCUGAAUCGACCCACAGAUGACUUGAGGAAUGAAACUCAGGCUUAUUUUCGAUUCCACCAGUUCCUUUAUAUGAAGGUUGUUUUUGAGAAAUAGGGAGAAGAUAGAAUAAUUAAUGACAGUCAAAUCCCAGAAACAUUCCAGGCUCAGCUGCAAACAUGCAUGCAAAGGCAUCAUGACUCCAAGAGCUGAGCUAUGACGUGGUUCUGAUUUUCAAGUUGGACGUAAGGUUUGGAAUCCAUAUAGUGCUUGUUUGUGGGGUUUGUUAGGAUUCAAGAGGGAUGAGAAUUGGGGAUGAAAAGAAUACAAAGAGAGAAAAAGCAAGGGUUGAGAACCAAUACCACCUUGUCUGCUUAUGUCUAUUUACUCAUGCAUGCUAUGAAAGCCUGUUUCAUGAAUAGUACGUAGUUCCAAAUUCUUACGCAGUUCCAAAUUCAUAGCAUUGAGACUAAGCUAUAAGAAACUACUCUAUGUGCUGCUUUUAUGAUAUUAUUUCAUACUGGUCUUCCUGGCAGCGAAGUACGUUGUUGAUGACUUUGCUCACAGUUCCUUCUCAACAUUCAGAAUUGCACUCGAACCCAAAAAAAAAAAAACCCAAAGAGUCAAAAUUGCACCAAUGAGAAUACUGACUCUUGCAACAGCUAACAUUCAUAGAGUAAGCAUUUUAAAACUAACCCAAGUUUUGUGUACUUGGGAACCAAGACUUUCGAAAUGAACAAAAGGAGGUAACAAAAAUGAUUUGGCAGGGGAAAGAGGCCAAACUAAGUACCUAACAUAGAUCUUACACAAGAUUAAAUAUGGGUGAUGAAGUUAUGAAUCAAUCUACGCCAAAACUUCAUUACAGCAACUGUUUACCUUAGUGACCCAUGAUCACAAAAAAAGCACUUUGUUUAGUGGGUUGUACCAAAGAUCAUCUAAUAAAUGGGACACUGAAGUUAUCAUUUCAACUAAUUUUAUUGCUGGGAUUAAUAAUGACAGGACAAAAGAAGUUUCAAAAUGACUAGGCCAAAUGACCAAGUUUGAUUGGAGAGAGAGUGAGAGAGGUUGAGGCGUAAAUCUAUUAACAUGGAUGGCUGAUAGAGUAAUUAGGCUGGAAUCCUUUGGGAAAUAAUCUUUCCGGUCUCAGCAUUGUUGUUUCCUUCAAAAAUGGAAACUAUUUGUAUUCAUGCGGGUGUGAUCAUUCUUCAUGUUGGGCAUUAGAAAUGGAGGGGUUGUCACUUUUAUAGUUUUAUUAGUUUAAGUAUACUAGUUCCCGAUCAACCAGGCAAUGUAGCAAAAGACAAGUAAGAAGCUGAACAUGAAUGUAUCAUAAAAAUCCAGGUAUAUAUAACGAAUGCAAUGGGAAGAAGCUAGAACCUGUAUUACAAAUCAUGUAGAUCGAAUAGGGCCGGGAUGGACUGAUUUACUAGAACUUGGCAGAUCACCAUAUUGGAACGAAGUCUAUAAAACAAUGGAGGUAAGCACUUCUUCAACUUAAAACCAGGUGAUAGUAGAAGAGACCAGGCCAGGAGAAAAACAAACUGCUGUCUGCUGAUAUGUACAUCAUGGCCGCUAUAUAUAGUUUGAUUCUUUGCAACCUAAAUUUUUGUGGCUCACCCGCAGACUGAGCUUACUAAUGAAUGCAAGUUCAAAUCCAUCACACCACACCAUUAGUCUGAUCUUCCCCAGAGCCGGCCCUGGGGCGGUCAAGGCGGCGCCGCCGCACAGGGCCCCCGGCCGGCAAGGGGCCCCUUUUUUUUGUCCAGUGAAAGUUUAUAUACAUAUAUAUAUAUAAUAAUUUAUCUUUGUUAGCAAACUGGGUGUCUGGUUGAGUUGGUUUAGGGGGUGUUUUUGUUUGAUGAGGCAAGUAGGUUAGUAGUUCAAGCGAGGCCCCCUGCUGUUUUUUAUUUUUUUUCCUUUUUUUUCCCUUCUUCUAUUAGGUUUAGUCGUGAAAUUAAAAAAAACCCUAUUCAAUUAUUGAUCACCUCGGUUUGAUCGUUGUUCCUCCGUCUCUCUACUCUUUGUUUCCUCCUGGUACUCAUAUUUCCUAUCUUCAUCUUCAAAUUUCCCAACUCCUAUCUCUUAAUUGGCUUUGUUUAUACACUCAAACUCUCUUAUUCUAUUCCCUAAAAGUAUUCUUUUGAUUUCCUACAAUUUUAUACAUAAAUUGAAUAUACACAUAAUAAAUUUAACAACUUGUUUCUUGUAUUGGUUUGUAAAUUUAGAAGCAAAGGAAGGGAGCUUGGAGGUUUGAAAGCAAUUGAGGCUGGGGCUUCAAAAUGAAAUCAGUGUUCUUUCAAGUUUUUUUUUCUCAACACAAAGGGCCCCAAUUUUUUUCUCGCACCGGGUCCUUCAAAACAUUGGACCGGCCCUGAUCUUCCCUCUAAUAGACUCCACUGCUACACUUUUUUGUACAUGAUACAAUGACAAUGGCAAAAUGCUACUUCACUGUUUGCAAUUUCUGGUUACAUGGAUGAGUAUUCAGAAUCAGAAGAACUUCAGUAAUUAAGGAGUAAUGACUGAAAACCGUGCAAGUUACUUGAAAUUUGUCACCUCAUUUUUCAACUGGCUACUGCAUGCAGGAAACUCUGGAAGCCGGUCCAAACUUCCGAUAAUUUAAUUUCAUCCUUCGAGAGCAAGUCUAUGACAAUGGAGGUUGUAGAGUUAUAUGGUGACAGAUUUCUUUCCGACUUCUUAUGAAGAAGUUUAACAACCUCUUUACCAAGCCAUGAUUUUGGCACAAACCACGCAUAAGGGUAUUAAAAGUGAGGAGGUUUGGAGCACAACCCUUGCCUUCCAUAAUUCCAUUUCCAAAAACAAACUAUUUGCCUUUUCGAGUUGUCCUUCUAUACAGAGCCCAUGAAUCAUCAUGCUAUACGUUAUACCUCAUCCACACUUGCCAAAUCUUUUGGGAAGGGAAAUCUAUGACCAAGGUUGGUAACCGCAUCCGCCAAAAAGUUAGCUUCACGGUGGGCAUGCACAAAGCUGAUAUUUUCGAACCAGCUAGCAAUGUGAAGAGCAUCUCGAAUGUGGGAUCUAAGACGCCAAGGAACAUCACAAUUUCUUUUGACGCAAUUGAUAUUAAGGAGAGAGUAGUCAAAAUGUCUUUGAUUUGAUACUUGCAGUAUUAACUUCUAUAACCGCUAUGCAAGAAGGAACCAACUUGGGCCUCCUUGGUUCGUGUUCACCAUUGGAAUGAAAGAAAAAGGGAUUCAAUUCAAAGGCGAUCGAUUACAGUGCCUUCUUCGAUCAGUGGCAAAGAAUUUGUCUCACACUCUCACUAUAUCGAUGAUAUCAAUCCACAUCUCCGUGAAACUUCCGUUUUCAUUGUAUUCCAGUCACAUACUACAUAAGUUUUCUUUUGUCGAGUAAAUUUUUUUGACUACGCUGCUACGGAUCGAGAGGUAUAUUUUGGUCCUUAGUCUAUAUAUGCAUAUGCGUGACUUAGCUAGUUAAACUACAUGCUGUCGUUUACAAAUGGAUCCAUUAACAUAUGCAAGCAUAUGAAUAUGAUGCAUAUGUAAACAUGCAUUUUCUUUUGAACGGGGUGUUAAUUGUACUUCAAUAGAUCAACAGCAGAAGGAACAGGAGCUCUUGACUGCUCGGUAUGGUGUUCAUCAUAUGCACGAUUACGUAGUUAAAGAAUAAAGUACUAUGUAAUUGCUUUACUUUAAUGAGUUUAAUCAAUAAGCGUCAAAGAAAAUUUGCCAUAUAUGUUUCACAAUAUUCCAAACGCAGGAUGCAAAAGUAGCGUACGUACUGGAUAUUCCCAGAACUGGACAGACUGAUAGUCUGAUACUGAUAGUGAAGGCAUGCCUAAGCUUUAUUCAUUAAAUCUUCUUCUUGAACAACUAUUUGAGAUAUACAAAAUCUUAAAAACAUUAUAAAAAAAAAUUAAAUAAAGAAAUACUAUUUGAGAUAUUAUGUGUGUUUGGACUUUGGAGAAUUAAACCAAUAAUGGGAUAGGCAAAGAAACAAGGACAAGAAACAUGUUUCACUAAAUUGCGCUGCAAAACUAUGCAUCUAGCUUCUUUAAAAUAUAACCAUUUGUACCAUUUGGCUUCUCAUAAUGAUCAUUUUUGUUCUGAACAAUAAUUAAGAUAGUACAUGCAAAUACAAUAAGAGAAGAGCUUUUUCUUGACAUGAUCGAUCCAUGAGCUGAGAGAUCGACUUGGAAAAAUUGAACCAGUUAGCAUGAUUAUACAUGAAGAUUGAUCUCAAAUUCUUGAUAGCAGAUGUCAUUGCUUAAAGUAAAACCAAACAAAAUCAAACCCUAGAAAGCAGAAAGGAAAAAAGAGAGAAAAAUACCUAAUAAUAUUGAUUAAAGUACAUUGGCAAAUUACUGAUUACAAUCAAUUAAUUGCAUCAUUAAUAAACAGCAAGAGUUCUAUCAUAAACCUGAUGAAAUAUGACGAUCAGUAGAAGAAGAUCACAUGUUAAUCUAACUGAAACUAGAGAGAUCAGAGUGAGAUGGAGACAGAAAUUUACUUAAAAAUAAGCUAGCUAGGGUAAAAAUGAAGAACCCUGGCCUUGGAAUGAAAGUAACCAAAAAUCCACAAGGUAUGUUGGAUUUGCUAGCUAAGCUAGGUUGAUGUAGUUAAGCUAGCAAAUAAUCGGACCGAGACGCUUGAUUCCCCUUUGAGCCAAAGAUCAGUUAUGGAUCCCUCGUUUCAGAGAAGAUCGAAACACGACCCUUUACUCAUACAAUCAAAAGCAUAGCUCAUGAUCAUAACCAGUACCAGUAUCAGUACUAGUAGUAGUGAAGCUCAAGCCUGCAGCUCCCUCUUCUGCUUCUUCUUCUUGACCUCCUCCUCCUCCUCCUUCUUCUUCUUGUUGGUGAUGAUGAGAUUGGGUUUGUUUUGGUGGUGAGUGGUGAAGAAGAUGACGAUAAAAUAGGAGGUGAUGGGGGUAAUCAUGAUAGUUCAUGAUGAUGAUGAUGAGGGUGGUGUAGAGAGUCAGAGCUGCUGAGGAGGCCAAGGAGGAGAGCAUCAUAAUUGCUAGCUGUUGGGGUUUUUUGCUGUUUCAAACUCUGAGCUUAAAUCCAAAGCUGCUAGCUAUUAUUGCGUUUUUAUGAUCACCAAGCCUUGUUGGUGUGCAAGCUAAGCCUAACUUUUUCCAUGCCCCCCACACUCUCACAGCUCCUGUUCCAAAUAAAAGAGGUUUGCAUUUUCUAUAGAGAAAAAGAAUCAGCUGCAGCAAUUGUUGGAAACCUUGGUUCCAACACCCCAACCAACUUACCUCCAAAUGCUCACUUUUGUUAACUUGCAUAAUUAUUCUUUCUUCAUUAAUUUUUAUAGAUGAUAGUAUAUACUGACAUUAUCUCACUAAUUAGAAAUAUAUAACUAGCUACAUAAAUUUUCGUAACAGAUUAUUUAACCAACAUGAGUUGUCAGCGAUAAAGUAGAAUUACACCUAUAUAUGUCUGUUUUUUUUUUUGCUAAUUGAGAUUCCAAGACUUGGAAAGCUCAGCUGGAAGUACUUUGUAGUCAAUGUUAUCCUGGUUGUUUUGUUUAUUCAGGCUGUGUUGUAUAAUGUCUACAGUAAAAGGCUGUUUGUGACUGUAUAUAUAUGGAGUUUAUGAAAUCCUCAAAGAUAAGCUUUAUUGGGUCUAGUUAAAGAUGCAAUUGGCAGGCCAGCAUCAUAUUUAUAAGUAGUAUACUUGUCACUUUGGUUAUAGUAUAUGAAAUUGAUUUUAGACUUUGGCAGAGGAAUCUAGAACUGGGGAAUGACAGAAGGCAUAUACAAGAGAAUCAAAAAAUACCAAAAUAAUACAUGCUGGUGGUACUUCUGCAAAAGCAUUUUGGUCUCUCUCUCUCUCUCUCUCUCUCUCUCUCUCUCUCUCUCUCUUUUGUUGGAGGGUUAAAAAAGCAUUCUGGUGUUUAAUUUUCAAUCUUCUCAUCUAUCAGUCAAAACAAAGGUUUAUCUUUUAUUUUUUACUGGAAGCAUGAAGAUUGAAGUUUGAGGGAGCUAGCUAGCUGGGAAUUACUCCAAUAUUUAUAUACAUUAAUACAUAUAUAAUAUAUGUGUAUAUAUUCCUCUUGAGACAAAAGAUAAGAUUCCCAGAUGAGCAUAUUUUGAUCAAUGGGUCAUCUCAGUAGUCAGUCGCCAUUACCAACCUGUAACCUGUUCCAAUCACCAUGAGGAUGAUGAAAGUAAUCAAUCAAUAAAUCAUUAAUUCUUUUAUACACAUGAUGUCUGUGUAGCUUGUUGUGCAGGUUAAAAUAUGAAAAUCCCAGACCCUCUGAAUAUCCUGAAUGAGGCAUGCAGGAAUAUUCAAUAUCGAUCCUAGCUGCAACUUCACAAUUAGAGACUUUAUCAGAUGAACCAGCUCAUACUUUUACUUCAAUACUUUAGUAAUGUAAUAUAUAUCAUGCUUAUACUAUUUUUUUUCUUUUCUGUAGGAUGCAAUUCGUCGAACAUCAUAUCUUAGCGGAUAGCUUGACAUAUCUCACUUUCGUAGUAUAUUUUGCCCCUUUCGGAAGCCUGUUUUUAGCAUUGUAGUAAACAUGUAGCUAGCCUAUCUGAAACUAGCCUCUUUGUACAUUUUAAGCAUCUAUGAUCUUUUCUGAAGAUCGAAGUGUUUUCAUAAAUUUCAGUAAAACAUCUAAACCUUGACAACCUUAAGAAAAACAGUCGUUAAACACAGGGUGUACUAUGGAUGAUGGAGAAGGAUGCUCUAAUAUCCCUAAACCCGUGCUGCAUGUCUGUGAAGAUUAUUAACCACCCAGUAAACCAGCUAGAAAAGUAAAAGAAACAAAUUGGAGCAGGGGGUAUGAUACAAAACAAUGACUUUUAUGUUUUGACUCUGCAAAAGUUACCAACGUUGAUCCAGCCUUUUGUUCCACUUUGUUGGUGUUGCCACCAAUACAGUUCGAUUGAAAGACAAAAGAAAAAUAAAUAAAGGACAACCGGCCUAGCUACAACAACAAAAAAGCAAACAUUUUUUCCGGAGAUUCAAAUCUUUUUAGCACCAAACAAAGUCGAUCCAAAACCAAAGCUCACAAAAGUUCACAGUAUUUCAUGUUUCCCAGUCUUUAUCAGUGCUUAUUAAACUUUGAUCAUAAGAUGAUUAAGAUCAUUCAUGGAUCCAACAAACAAGAAACUCAUUCCCACACCACUUUAUGUUAAUAUUCCAUGAAAUUAAGAAGAAUUAUUUUUCCAGCAUAUAUACUGCCAAUUCAUACAUGAUGUUGCUUCUGGUUUAGUAAUUACCCAGUACAGCCAUGAAAAUAACCAAAUGGCUGGAAGACCAAUAUCUCAACUUCACUGUUUACUAUCUAAUCUGUGUGAUUCAUUCACCUGCAGUGUUUAUGAAACUAGGCAAUGAGGAUCCCUAUAUAGUAUAUGCCAAAGAAAAGAGAAAAGAAAACCAAAAAGGGGGUAGUGAGUGAGGCUCCUAUGACUCUUAACAGAAAAAAGUGAGUUUGAUUCUUCAAGCACUAUGAACUGUUUGGGUUUUGAAGUCUGGGUAUCAUCAUUACAAUGAGAAAGUGGGUUGACACCACCCUUCAUUGUAAAGCUGUGUGAUCAAAUAAUAACCUAACUGACAAUCAGAACAUGCACAGAAGCUGCUUUCAAUUCCAUAGUAAUUUACUGUUUACAAUAUAUUUGGGUAUCAGUGGCAACUGUGGCAUUAAGCAGCCCGGAUAGUGUUUUACAGUCUUUUGCCUAAUUGUCAUUGUAAGUUUAGUGGAUGAGGCCCAGUUACUGCUUUACAAUCACCUGCAAUUUCCCCCCAGAAGUAAGGGCAGUAAAACUUUACAACCUGGAACCGAGUCCAGAAUGGGGAAGAUGAUCGAGGUUCUCUUGUGGAUGACAUUUUUUUUAUAAUGCUGAUGAUGAUUGAUAAGGAAUACUGUGAAAAUGUGGUAAUCUAUGCCAUGCAUAUAGAUAUAAUUAUCGUAACAUCAUAAAAUGAGUGUUUACAGUGCAAAUAUUAGUCAUUUAAAGUAGUAACAUGAGUUCUUAAAGUGGUCAAUUUAAGAUGAUAGAAGAGAAAGAAGUUGCAUCUGAAACUGAGGAAUGUUGAUUUCCUAGUGCGACUUGGAAAGAUCCCAACCAAACCCUAGCAUAGCCUCUCUCUUUGCUUCACGAUGAAAGGUACACCAAUAGGUCUUAGGCCACUGUUCAUUAAGAGAGUUACUAUGUUUGGGGGCAAGGAAGGUUAUUUCGCUUUAUUUUGCUUUUUAGUAUUUCAUGUCCAUUUUUUUGGACGUAGUUUUGAGGAUUGUAUUUUAAUUCGUAGUUUGUAUUAAGUACCUUGCUUUGUGUAUGAGUAAUUUUUAUAUUAUUCAAGCAUUGAUCGUUCUACGAUUGUUGAUUGGUUUUAUGCCCAAUAUGUUAUUCAAACUUUUUCAAAAACAAAGUGGUCAAUUUUCUUUGUUACCACAUGAAUCCUUGGGUGACAAAUACGUGAGGCCUAUAAGGCCUUCUCCAGCUCGUGGUUGCAAAUAAAAGUUCUAUUCAAAAAAAUACAACCCCAUUUGACACUAUUUAUCCAAAUAGUAGGUUUUAUAAUCAAACCAUCUCCAACCAGCAUGUUGCAUCUGCUACAAAAUGUGAAAAUGUUGCACGUUGGUCGGCCCACAAUUGGGGUGUGUAUGUGAAAUAGAACAGUUGGAUUUCAUGUUCUAGAUAUGAAACAUUAAGAGCAUCUCCAAUGGAAUAGUCUUUUUUGCCACAGAAGCUCAACAACUAGUUUUGACAGAACCACAAUGCUCCAACCCAGAGGUCAAAUCUACAUGGUUGCCACCGUGGUUGAUAGUUCUUAACUUCACUGUCAAAUUUGACAUCUUCAAUUCAAGAUGUCUUUGUUUGUUUAUCAUUGUUUCACUCUCUCUCUCUCUCUCUCUCUCUCUCUCUCUCUCUCUCUCUCUCUCUCUCUCUCUCUCUUCGUUCUCUCUUUAAAUUUGACAUACCCAUUGGAGUAGAGAUUGUCAAAAUAGACUAUGGCCGUAUCAGCCUUCAAAAUUAUCAAAUUUUGAAUUUGACACAAACCUUUUGACAUCUUUACUGGAGAUGCUCUUAGUUAGUUAUUUGUAUCCUCAAGUUGGAUCUUUGAGGUUCUAUUUAGCCGAUUGGAGAUGGGAUUUAGCACAAAAGUUCUAAAACUUAAUUUAGAAGCCAUCAAUGGGAGAAGGCCCAAGUUUAGAGAGCCCACGUUAUAACCCAUCUCUCUCAUUAUAUAUAACAAAGCGAAACAAAGAACGGGCGCGCGCCAAGAUGUUGUUGGGUAGCCGUUGCGCACUAGUCCCAGUCUCUCUGGGGACUUUUUUCAAACACCUUCCGCGCUCAAAACCCACCCCCAUCUUCCCUUCCAAAACCCUCACCACCACCGCCACAAUCCACUUCGACGCCUUGGAUUCCCGCCAGAAACACCAAAUCCAUCUCUACGUCGACACCCUUCUCGAUUGGAACCAGGUCUCUCUCUCUCACUCUCUUACACCAAUCCUCCAUUUAUUUUUGAGCUUAAAAUUGAUUAAUGUUGUUAACUUGUUAUCAUCUUUGCAGAGAAUGAACCUGACCGCAGUUCGAGAAGCCGGUGAGGUAAUGGAGAGGCAUAUUGACGAUUCGCUCGCGAUCAUACCGCCCAUAACAGACUCUUAUCUCUCUAAUUGCGGUGCUUCAUUUGGAAAUCUCAGUCUCAUUGAUGUCGGUAGCGGCGCAGGACUGCCCGGCUUGGUCUUGGCCAUUGCUUGCCCCGGUAAUAUAUAUAUUCGCUACAAGUUUCAUAUGUUUUAUAUUUGGGGUGGUUUGAAUUAAAUUACUUGAUGCUGGAUUGGUGGUGUAGAUUGGAAAGUGACCCUGAUGGAGUCGAUGAGCAAACGAUGUGUGUUUUUGGAGCAUGCUGUUAAUCAUGUUGGUUUGUCAAAUGUGGAGAUUGUAAGAGGAAGAGCAGAGGUAGUGUUUCUGUGGAAGUUUUAAUAUUUGUGGUCGCACAAACACGUACAGGUAGAAAUUGGUUGGCAUUAAACUAAGUGUGUCGAAUUUUGCUAUAGGACAGAACUUGGGUCAGGAUGUUUGCUUCAGGGAGAAAUAUGAUGUAGCGGUAGCCAGAGCGGUUGCGGAGAUGAGAAUUUUAGGUGGGAAUGAAAAGCUCUUUGUCAUGAUUUGUUGAAAAGACUCGUUCUUUACAUUGAGUUGUUGAUUUUUAUUACUUUGGUGGUCAGCGGAAUACUGUCUUCCUCUGGUUCGCGUUGGUGGCUUGUUUGUGGCUGCAAAGGGUCAUGAUCCUCAGGUAUGUAUUUGGUUCUGCAUACAUCAACCGAUCAUGUAGCCUCACUAAAGAGCAAAAUAUUCCGGAUAUGAAAGAAUGGCAUAGUGACAAGUUCCUUUUCUUGGUUUGUCUUUGAGAUUCCCUAUCACAUGAAGAUUUUUGUACAUUUGCAAGUCUUACCUAUUAACCAGUUCUUUCUGAAGUUGUUCUUUCUGAAGUUUGAUUAUAGAAUUCCAUGAAUGAGGAACCUAGCUAUUUAUCAGUAGUAUAUGCAAAAUGCCGUUUAAAUUGUUUAACAAUCUUGCUUGUGCAUGUUGUUUGGACCUUUAAAUACUCUGGCAACUGUCCAUUUUUUCUUGAACUAAGUUUCUAGAUAUGAACUAUUAAUCAAUCGGUAUGUUGUACAUUUGAACAGAUGGAAGUAAAGAAUGCAGAAAAAGCCAUUCAAAUAUUGGGUGCUUCCAUACGACAACUAUGCCCAGGUAUGUCUUAUUUCCAAUUUGAUAGAAAAUCAACCACUCAAGUGUAUGAUGGACAUAGCUAAAUUAAUUCUUUUGAUGCAACCCCUGUCUGUACCCAGUGGAAUCUCACAGCCCGUAUGGACAAAGAACGGCCAUUGUAUGCCUGAAAACCAGUCCCACCCCAAAGAAGUACCCUCGUGAUCCAGGUACCCCGGUAAAAGUACCACUAUGAAUAGUUCAUAUAUAUGGCCAUUUUGAAUGUAAUAUUUAGUUCACCUGCCAUUCCCUGUCAACCCCUCUUAAAUUUUCUAUGUAACAACUUCACUUUAGAAAUAAAAACACUGUUCUUAACAAAAUUUUCUUCUGGUCUACUAUUGUCCAUUGUAAUUGAUGUUACUAUUGUCCAUUGUAAUUGAUGUGCAGUCUGAUGAGCCAUGCGCUUGUUCUUCUUUGACUGUUUCUGGUGUUGUUAGUUGAGGAAUUUCUGCGAAUAAGUAUGCAUUGUCUAACCAAGAAAACUCGUGAAAUCCCCUUUGGCUUAUCUAGACCUAAGUAGCUAACAGUUUCACUCACAAGAUUUUGGAUAGUUGAAAUUUUUUUAGUAAAAGACAAGUGAUGCAGUCCAUGUACAGAGUGAUUAUACAGAAGAAAUGAAUUCCUAUAGGGUUAGGCAUAUCUUUUGAAAAUGUAAAAACCUAAAAACUCAUUAUUGAAGUAAAACUUGGGAGAAUACUCCAACAGCAGUAAAUACUUUUAAUUAAUAUAUUCACCAUAAAUUAGUUUAAUGUAUUUUUCCGUGAAUGAUCGAUGCUGCUUUGUGUGGAAAACUGGAAAUUCAUAUGAUCUGUACUGCGAGAAGAAAAUUUGAGUUGUGAUGCACCUUUUAAAGAGUAAAACUAAACAGUGGAGGCAACAUACAGCUUCAGAGACUGAACAAAUAUUAUGAUGAUAUAGUAAGGUGAAAUAGGCGAUCAAGAACAAGUAAAUAGGAGUGUGGACUAAUGUUGACUAAUCAGGUCAUCUUAUGCCUAACUAGUGAGUCAGCGAGUGUUAUAACUAAUAAUAUGCAGAAGUGGUCUACGAGUUGCUGGUUUCCUACCAAUAAGUUACUGCUAGCUGAUUCAUUAAGACACCUCAUUUAGAGGCAAUUUUGCCUACAUUUGCCAAAUUGUACCCUCUCCUUUGAGUCAAUCUAUGUUUUUCAUUCGCACCUCUCUCUCCCUGUUGGUCUAUGGAAGCAAAUUGGACAUCAUCAUGGUUCCGAGACGCACUUUAGUGUUAUGCUUCAGCUUUGGCCAACACCAUCUUCUCCUUUUGAUCUGAAACUUUGAGGGAUUAAAGUCGCUUUUUUGGAGUACUGACAACAGGAAAAAGUUGAGGACUGGAAGUUUUUGUUAAUCUGCACAUCAAACUGAGUUAACUUAGGUUUUACCUGCUAAAGCACUGUUGUUCGGAGGCUAUCUUGCUCAGUGUGGACACUGAGUAGACAGGUGUACCCAUGAUUAUCCAAGUUAGAUCAUUCUAAGAUUUCUUUAAUAGGAUAAUAAUCUCAGAAAGCUUGGUAGUAAAGUAAAUCUCAUAUCAUAUUAUAUUUCCUUCUUUUGGGUCAACGACGUUGUUUGCUUGAUAGCUAGGAAUUGGAUUUGAGACAAAGAGCAAUGAAUUAGGUUAAAAUUCUGGUGUGCUGUUUAGGAACUAAAAUGACUGUUACCUAACUUCUCCACUUGUGAUAAUACAUUUUACAGGUCAAAGUUGGAACCUUAUAUGAAGUUAUUAAGUGAUUACUUCUUUAUUAGACUUGGUGAUUACUGAUUUUUGCACCCUUCAUUAUAUGAUUAGAGUUUCUGCUUUGUAUUUCUCAGCUUUGAAUGGAUCCUGCUUAAUUUGGCAUACCUACCUGCUGCUUUAUUGUGAAUGGUAGAUAUAUCUAUAGAUAUAUCUUGCUUUUAUUGCCUGAAAGAAACCGAACUUGGAGCGAAAGCUAUAUAUAUACAUACACACACACACAGUUCCCUUACAGAGCGGGACACGACUUUGAAAUUAAAGUGUGGUGCUCCUCAUUUUGCUCUUGAAGGGAACUGUAUAUAUAUGUGUGUGUGUGUGUGUGUGUGUGUGUGUGUAUUGAGAUUUUGGACAGUGGAAGGUAAGAUUAGUAAGAGAAUGAGUGUGAGUUUCACUAAUGACUGACCUUUUUAUGCACUCUCUCGGUCUUUUUGGGUUGCGCCCCACAAUCCAACCAAUCCUUGCCAAAAAUGUAAGUAGUGACACUCCAUUGGCCACUGUAUCACAUAUUUAAAUCCAUUCCAGCCAAUCCUGCUUGGGCACACACCACACUACUGUUAAGAAAGAGAGAACCAUAUGUAUCAUAUGUGAUAUUAUUUAUUUCUUAUUGUCAUUUCCCACUUUUAAGAAAUUUCUUCCCGUUUUGUGAAGUUCUCUUCCAUUCUUUAAUAUUUGAUGUCUUGCCUUUUAGUUUGGAUUUCUGUGAGCUUUCUUUGCUUUUAUUCAUAAUUAUUUUAAUAUUUCUAUCUUCUCCUUAGGUUUGCUAUGUUCUAGCUCAUCUGCAUAUUUGUUUAUCAAGUUUAUGAUCCUUUUGGAGAAAGCACAGUAUCAUAAAAUUUGAAAUAAGAACAGAUACAGAUGGUUUAGAAAUUAUUGUUCUUAUUAUAUGAUAGCCCUACAUGAUUCUUCCAUCAUACUUCCAUUUCCUCAACAAUAUCUCACCCUCUAAGAUCACACAGUCGCAUGAAUCAUACACUUCAUAUCUCUUAUGCAGGCAUUUCUAACCUAACCCAGGUGACUAAUAAUAGAGAAAAGGGAAACUAACAUAACACAAUAGAAGAGAAAGCAGAAAAACAAGAUCUCCUCUCAAUAGGCAAGACUUAGCUGAAGAUUAGAACAAGUAGAAGAGAAAGAGUCUUCUACUGACAAGGAACAAAGACCUGCCAAACCUUGAUGUCACAGUCCAAACCUCCGCUGUAAAUGAGAUAACUAGAUGUGUCAGAUGUGGUGCACUGGUCAACUGUAGCAGUUAAACACUUGACUGGACCUUUAUGCCCUUCUAACAUAGCCAAGCAUGAAUAACUUCUAGCAACCCCUCUCCAGAUUCUUAUGGUUUGGUCUGCAGAACCACUACACACCAAGUCUGACACCACUGCUAAGCAUAAUAUUGAUUUGGUAUGACCUCUUAGCGCACCCACAACACCCAUGUUACCCUCACUAUCUAUCUUCUCCCAAACAACAAUGGACCUGUCACAUGCACCAGAGUACAAUACACAACCAUCACUGCUCAGAGCAAGUGCAUUGACCCCAGAAUUGUGCUUCUCUAAUGUAGCAAUUAGAGAAUGUUUCUUUUCUCCUAACUCUUUCUUCCACACCUUAAUUUUUUAUCUGCUGAACCAGUAUAAACAUGUCCAUCCUCCAAUGACACUGCCACUGCAUUUAUAGCAUCAUCAUGUGCAUUUCUCACUGACUCCAAGCAUUUGAAGUCUGUUGUGCUCCAUACUUUGAGCGUUCGAUCCCAUGAAACAGAAUAGAGAAGUGACUCAUCCCUUGAUAAGGCCAGUGCAGAGACUGUGUCCACAUGAUGGAUCCAAGUGCACUUCUUGUGCCUUCUUAUUUGUACCUGGUGCUUCGGCAUCAGAAGCUUAGCAGCGCGGUCACCAAGAGUUGGCAACGUGGCUAAGCGCGAGUACCUUAGGUGGUCAGGUUCAUUGUUUUCGAUUUUCCAGACUCGGAUUUUGUGAUCUUGAUGAGCACUGAAGAUCUUGUCACCUGAAAUUGCUAGGGACUUCACUGCUCCCUUUCCAGCAGACACCAUGCAAUGAUCAGCACUCAAGUUUUCGUUAUUGGACUCGACGUAAGGGUUGCACUUCCACGACCGGAUUUCUCUGUCGGAAGAGCCGGUAUAGAUGAAGUUUCCAGACAUGGUGAGAGAGGAUAUGUAGGAGUUGUGGCCUUGCAAAGUGGUGAGGCAGUGGUGAUAGGUGGGCUGAUUUUCUUGGUUGUGGGAUUGUGAGGUCAGGGAAGGAACUGACUGGAGGCUUGGCACAGAAGUAAGGUAAUGAUCUGAUUGAUCACCAUGAAGAUGACUUGUCUGAGAUUGAAAAUCAUUGUUUGAGUACGGAUAGGACUGGUGGUAUUCCAUGGUUCAUGCUAGAGAAGAAGAGUGGGAGAAGAAAGUGAGGUGUUUAUUAUUAUAUAGAGAGAAGGAGUGAGGAUAUAUAGCUAAAUAUUUAGGAGGCCUAUUUAAAGCUAAAACAUAUAUGAAAAUAGAUACUACACUCUUGGCAAAAAGUGAUGAAGCAAUAUUGGGCCAAUAAAAUUAGGUGGGUGGAGCAUAGGAAUUGGUUGUUCUGCACUUCAAUUGGGAUCAUGAUCUUAUCAAAUGCUCUGCAUUACUUCUCUUUACUGAUCUAAAACUCAGGGAGCAAGGGACAGAAUCAAAUGGUUUUGUAUAGAAUUUGGAUAUUUAAAAGAACAGAAAUAAUAUAGUGAAGGGUUUGACUGAUAAGUUUUGUCCAUAUCAUGGAGCUAAGCAACCUGACCCAGUGACCCUCCACUAGAAAUAUAUUUAACUCCCAGUUUUGGUGGAGAAAUUAAGCUAUAGCUAUACUCCUCCAACCACAACCUUCCACCACAAGUUUGGCUAAAAACAAAACUUAGGCUCCAAAUCUUGCUCAAGGCUGUGAAGGUGAACCAAGCCACCUACUUCACAAGCAUGAUACAAGUAAGCUUGUAUAUGUGAUUUGAAGGAACAUGCUGAUUAGUCUUUCUCUAACAAAGGACCUGUAGAAGAGAAAUGAGGCGAGGAAGUUUAUGAAUUCGAAGCUAGGCAUAGUAGUCCCAUGCAUGUGAGUUCAACUUUAGUUUGGUGCAUAUAAUUUUGACAUGUAUUCUUUCUCUAUUGCUAUGCACGUAGUGUGUCUCACCCAUUUUUGCUACUGGUAUGGUUAUUUUUCCUGGAAUGAGAGAUCAGAGGGCCAAAAGGACCCGUGAUUCGAACCCCUUGGGACCUAUCAAUGAGUGAUAAGUGUUUGUGCUCUCUUAUACCAGUCUCCAUCAUGAUAUACAUAUAUCUUGCAGGUACAAUUUAAUUUUUUUCAUAUUUUUGGCUAAGAAAUUAUAGUCUUUUUGGCUCACGUAAAACGCAGUACUUGACAGUGACUUGCUCUAUGACCUCUAAUGGCAACCCAAAAAGCCUAAUGAAAGACUGAUCGAAAAUGAUGUUUAGUGGAUGCUAAUUGUUCUUGAAUGCAAGUUGCUUUGGUGAUUGAUUGGUCUCUAUUACUUAUGCACUUUAGGUAUAUGGCAAAGAUGAACAAUACUACUUGUUGCUUAACUUCUUUUGAUAUAGUGAUGCCUUCCUAUCUUUGAUUCUUAUCUUAUUUUGGUCCAAAGUAGGGCUAAACCUGUGAAAAAGAGGUAGAUUCUCUAUCUGCAGCUACGAAUUAAGUAGUAUGAACCCAUGAAAAAAUUCAGUGAAUUUAAACAAAUUAUGAACACAAGGUUUGAAAAUAAUGGAGUGGCUGGCAUACUUUUGUAUCCUAACUGGACCAAGGAAUACUGCUUUUGGCUAGUCUUCGCCUUCUGAUGGAUCCAUUUUGUACAAUUUCUUUCUAUAAGUCUCUACUUCAUUCCCCAUAUUACUUGACCAAAAUCGCAUACUUUGUGAAAUUUCGUUAGAUUUUCUUGUUUUAUGUGUCAUUAUAUUGUAUUUGAGAAAUGUAAAAAGAAGCUCUGAAUUGGAAUCAGUGGAAAGUACAGAACCCAAGUGACUUUUAAUUCAUAGUAGUCUAGUCCUCAGAAGUAUGAUUAUUCUCUUCAUUGUCUUCAAUGCAUAAUGAAACAAGCUGUUGUCUUUUCAUUUCUAGAUCGCACCCCGAUUUGUAUGACAUAUUAACUGGUUUUGAACCUAUGAGUCAUCCCUUCUGCUCUAUAAGGUAGAAUGUUUUUUACCUAUGCCAUAUAGUACUGUAUAGGUAGAAAAAGAAGAACUCAUAAGUAUGCCAUACUAAACCCUUUCAGUUCCAGGUAUAAUCCAUCAUUGUAUGUGAUGUUAACUAUAGCAGUUAUACAAUACUCAACCUACUUUUGGUGGGAUUGAAGGGAAGGACAGCUUUCCUCUCAAGGAAAUGAAAUCUAUUAUGGUGAUGAAAGCAACAAUAUCAAAGUGGAAUGUUUAUUCAUAUCUCAGUAAAGCCUUACCCACCUCCUUUUGUUCCAGCUUUUAAUUGCAUGAUAAUACAUGAUGCUUCCUGAAAAUAUGUAAUGGGGUCUGUCUUCCCACCACUGAACUUAUAACCAGAAACAUAGCACUAGUACAAAACCCAACUUAGAGCUACACUUGCCAUAUUUGUCUGUUGGUCUCAAGCAUAUCAUGGCAUUAUUGCCUAUAGGGUCAGCAACCAUCAAUGGCUGCUCUGCAUCUGACAUAUGUAAAGACCUAUAGACGCCUCAUUCUGCCAUUUGUUAUAUUGGAGGGAAAUCGAACUCCUAAGAGCAACUUCGAUGGAGUAGUCCAUUAGAUGGUGUCAACUCCAAUAGUAACCUUGCCUAAUCCUAACCUCAUUUCACCCUCACUACUUGGGUUAACCCUUAAUCCUAACAAAUCGUAAAUUUUUUGUUAUUAUGUAAUGGUGGUUCUAGUUGGACACUGUUAAAAAAUUGAUCUUCAUCUCGAUGCCCUUUGUCGAUCCAAGACAACAGACAGAGGCCGCAAUCCGACAAAGUCCGUUUCCAUAGGCCCAUAAUCCUCGUCUCGAUUGUUCUGUGUUCUAUGUCGGUUUUGUUUUCGAUCGUAGUUUUUCAACUUAGUUCAAAGACUUCAUGAAAUACUGAAUACUCUACUAGUUCAGCCGACAAAUGGAUUAUGUUAAUGAUAAAACUAAUGAUGAAAAGAAGGAGAUGGGCAGGCUUGUUUAACUUUUUUUUUUUUUUUUUUUUUUUUCUGAUUGAAUUGUGUAUCUUAUUUUAAAAAACCAAAGACACCCAUUUAAAAAUAAAAUGAAUAACACUGUGAUCGAGUAAGAACUUAGGUGUGACAUGUAUCUAGGUUGAAAUGAUUUAAGUCUCAAGCUGUUUUUGGUGGUUAGAGGAGCAUGAUCAUCUAACAGAAAAACCGUUCUGACAUGAACCUCUGACAACAACGAAUCAAGCCUAAAAAUUUAAACCUCAAUCUAGCAUCAUCCUCCCACACAUAUUAACCUCCGAUAUAUAUAUUUUUGAUGGUCUGCAGGCCGGCUUAACCUCCGGCGUUGAUUAGGUUUUGAAAACCUAAAGAAAAAAUUAAUCGAGUCAAAUCAAAACAAAAGAGAAAAAAAUGAAAAUAAAAACAAAAAGAAAGACCAAAGCGUCGCGCGCCUCUCUUCAGGUCCCUAUCACCGGUCGGCCUUGAAUUUUGUCUCGUCCUUCUUCUUAUUCCUCUUCUACCUUACUCAACCACCAUGAUCCUCAGCUUUUGCUCACUCGACCUCUCUCAUGGCUUCCGCCACUUCUCCCGCCAUUUCUACCGUUACCAUCUUCACACUCUUCUUCUUCUUCACCUUGUGCGUCCUCUCCUCCUCAUCACCAUCCACCAUCGGUGUCGGCUACAUUUCGAACGUUCUAGAACUUCAGGACCGCGAGAGGGCCCCGCCCUAUGUCCAAGUCGCCGCCGCUCGCGGAGUCCUCCACCGCCUUCUUCCUUCCCACUCCUCCAGCUUCGACUUCCAAAUCGUCUCGAAGGUCUUUCAGUUUCUUCUAUUUGUAUUUCAUUUCUAACUUUUAUUUUCUUCCAAGUUUAAUUUAUUUAUUUAUUGUGAUUUAGGAAAGGUUUAAUCUUUAUGUUAGUGAAUGUGAAUUUCAUACGUACAUGAUGCUUUUGUAUGAUUUUAUAAUGUAAAUAGCUGCAUGUGUAUUUUCUUUUAUAUGCAAAGCCAUAUAUUUGGAAGUUGGUUAUGAAUCUUAUGAUGCUUCUAGUUCCCUAUUGAGAAUUGCACAAACUCAAGACUGUUCCUAUUGGACUUGCAGGAGCAAUGUGGUGGUGCUUCCUGUUUUAUGAUUAAGAACCAUCCUUCUUUUCGUAGACGAGGAAUCGAUCCACAGAUUCUGUAUGUAGUCAUCUUCUUUCUCUAACUCCUUGUGAAACUACAGUACUACACUAUACUACACUAUGUGUGACUGUGGGAAAUUGGGGAUACAUGAAAGUUUCAAUUCAAUGAAAAUUUGUACUUGAUCAAAUGGUACCAUUGAAGUGUUAUUAAUUUACAUUCAUGUGACUUUCAAAUCAAUGCUUGAACUAGGAUUUCCGGAGUCACUGGAGUGGAGAUUUUGGCUGGUCUGCACUGGUAUUUGAAGAAUUGGUGCGGCUCACAUAUAUCUUGGGAUAAAACUGGCGGUGCGCAACUAUUUUCAGUCCCAAAAGCAGGUUUACUCUCUUGUGUAGGAGAUGGUGGCAUUUUAGUCCAGAGACCUGUUCCUUGGAACUAUUACCAGAAUGCUGUUACAUCUAGCUGUAAGCUGCUACUUUAUAUUUGUGUUUACUUCUCCACAGUGUCUCUUACAUAGAAGCUAGUAUUGUAAAACUUUUUUUGAGCUGUGGAUUUGAUUCUUAGAGUUGUUCUUUUGUGAAUUGCUAAUGAUACUUCGUUUUCUGAUUCUAAAGAUUCUUUGGCCUGGUGGGACUGGAUUAGAUGGGAAAAGGAGAUUGAUAUGAUGGCCCUCCAGGGUAUCAAUUUGCCAUUAGCAUUUACAGGUCAAGAGGCUAUAUGGCAGAAAGUUUUCCAGGUGCUUUUCAUUGCUGCCUAUAAUUUUCCUUGUUAGUACUGGAGCAUUGCUGUACCAACCAAUGGUUGUUUGUUUAUACUAAUAACGUGUUAUUUCUCCUCUACCAGAAAUUUAACAUAAGCAAAUCAGAUUUGGAUGAUUUCUUUGGAGGCCCUGCAUUCCUUUCAUGGUCUCGAAUGGGAAAUCUGCACGGGUGAGUUUGCUUAUCUUGCUUAAAGGAUAGUUGUUUUGCAAUAUUUUCUGACUGAUAACAAUUGUAGUAUCUUGAUGAUAUGUGAUAAUUUUCUGCAGAUGGGGUGGACCUCUCCCACAAAGUUGGCUUGAUCAACAGCUGAUUCUGCAGAAAAGAAUUCUUGACAGAAUGUAUGAACUUGGAAUGACUCCAGGUACUAAACUUCUAAUAUUUUAGCUGGAUUAAGAGGGAAGAAAAUGGAUCACAUGUUUUUGGCCUUGUAUAGUUGUAGCACAUCAAUUUGCUGAAUUCAAUUCUAUGAUUUGUAACUACUGCAAAAUUUUAUUUUGAAACUUGAAAGGGAAAAAAAGGAUAUCAAUUUAAGUAAAUUUCUAAGAAAGUGUGGGGUUAAUAACCUGAUGUAUGUAUUUCUGCUCCUCAGUUCUUCCAGCAUUUUCCGGGAAUGUUCCAGCAGCACUCAAAACUAUAUAUCCAGCAGCAAAGAUAACACAGUUAGGAAACUGGUAAGUGCUGCUCCAUGCGGAUCACUUUCCGCCAAAUUUCAUUGGCAAUCUCAUGCUUUAUUAUUUUUAAUUUCCAUAUUCCACACUUGUCUCAGUUGAAUUCCUUAAUACUAACUGAAUAUGUAGGUUUCUGUACAUCUUGAAUAUUUCCAAUAUGGCUUCAGGUUUUCUGUUAAGAGUGACCCUAGAUGGACGUGCACUUACCUUCUUGAUGCAACUGAUCCCUUAUUUGUUGAAAUUGGGAAAACAUUCAUUGAGGAACAACUAAAAGGUUGGUCACAUGAAUCAUUUGCCCUCCUGCAUUAUGUUAUUUCAUGCAAGACUUGUGAGAAAAUUCAGUUCUUAUUCUUUUCAUUGUUGUAUUACUUGUUUGAUCAGAAUACGGAAGGACAAGUCACAUAUACAACUGGUAUACAGCUUCCUGCAUUUCUUCUAUUAUAGCUUGUUCUUCCAUUGUUUUUGCCCUCAACAUGUGGUUAUUGUGAUAUUUAAUGUUUGUUAAGCUGGUUACUGAACCUGUUGCAGUGAUACUUUCGAUGAGAAUACUCCACCCGUUGAUGAUCCAGAGUACAUCUCUGCAUUAGGUAAAACAAUAUUUAAGGGACUGCAAAGUGGAGAUAAGGACGGGGUCUGGCUAAUGCAGGUAAAACGAAUGAUUUGAUUUGAGUCUUACCAUACUCCUAGCAUCUCUUUUAUGAAAUGUAGCUAGUUAUAUUGACGGCCGAUUUUCAAACAGUAACCAUGCCUUCUUAUCUGUGUUUGUCUAGAAAUUAGCAAACAAUAUUUGAGCCAUUUUCAUUUUGAUCAAAUAUUUCAUUUAUUUACCCACCGUAAUUUAGACUUCUUGUUUUCAUCUUCUGAUUACUUCCUUAUGUGUUAGUUACUUGCAGUGUUACUUGCUGGAAAGUCACUAGACUUUACUAUGUUUUGGUUUACAGUAUACUGACGAGUAUAAUUCUGCAGGGGUGGUUAUUUUCAUAUGAUCCAUUCUGGAGGCCUGCACAAAUGAAGGUUAUACUUACAAUUUUUGUUUUUGUUGGGUAUCUUGUUCCCUUUCAUUUAUGUGUUGUCAUUAACAAGGAAACAUGCUUGUUUCCAGGCACUUUUACAUUCUGUUCCUGCAGGGAGGAUGGUAGUCCUUGAUCUGUUUGCUGAAGUGAAACCAAUUUGGACUACUUCAGAGCAGUUCUAUGGUGUUCCUUACAUCUGGAAAGUCAUUGCUCCUUUUCUUGAUUGGGAAUUAGCAUUUGUAUAGUGAUAGAAACCAUAUCCAUGACUGCUAACAUAAAAUUUAAACACCAAAUGGCACAACAUAUAUAUGCUCUUCUCUGUUCAUCUUUGGUAGAUCCUUAUUUACUUAGUUUGGUAUUCAUUACAGGUGUAUGCUGCACAACUUUGCAGGAAACGUUGAGAUGUACGGCGUUUUGGAUGCAAUAGCAUCCGGACCAAUUGAUGCUUGGACAAGUGAAAACUCAACCAUGGUAAUUGUUAAAUUUUCCCAUGCACCUAUUAUUAAAAGUGAAAUGUAAUCCCCCUUGGCCAUGGUUGAGGGUUCCAGUAAUAAAUCAUACUCAUACCUUCAAUUCUUUCCAACUAGAAAGUAAAGAAGUCGAUAAAGAGAACGAAAUCUAAUUUAAAUUGCGUCUUAAAUAUUCCACUAGUCCUCCUUUUCUCAUGUUAGAACUUCAUUUGAAUAUAUAUUCCUUACUGUUUCUAUUACUCUCUGAAGGUUGGGGUUGGAAUGUCAAUGGAAGGUAUAGAACAGAAUCCUGUUGUUUAUGAUCUAAUGUCUGAGAUGGCUUUUCAGCAGAACAAAGUUGAUGUUAAGGUAAGCUUUACUCAUUUCCUAAUCCUUUGAUACCUACCAGUCCUACCACUCUCCAUUUCAAUUGAGAACAUUAUUCACUCGUUUCUGCUAUUUCAGGACUGGAUUAAUCUGUACUCAACGAGACGUUAUGGUCGUGCAGUUCCUUUAGUGCAAGACGCCUGGAGUAUAUUGCGUCAUACCACCUAUAAUUGCACUGAUGGUGCCUACGUAAGUGACUAAGUGGCCUGGCCUAUAUAGAUUCCAUUUUCUUUUUUUCUUUGUUCUUUAAUACUGUAGAAUUGUGUCUUCUCCAUUCUCAAUUUGAAGAGGGCCUUAAGGUCUUUGAACUCUUCAACUUUGCAAGAUUGCACGGCUGGAUCUUGUUCCAAAAAGCAUGCAUACACUGUAAAACCGUAGUUCUUAUACCCUCAGUAUUGGUUGUGCGUUAGUCCCAGCUAUAAGAAUGUCAUUUCAUACCUCUGUGCUAGAUUUUGAUAUCCUUAAUUGGUUGAGAACAGGACAAAAAUAGGGAUGUGAUUGUGGCAUUUCCGGAUGUUGAUCCAUCCUUUAUAGCAAGACCGCCUCAAGGUUAUUACCAAAAUGAGAAAUCAUUAGUGUCAAGAAGAGCAGAACUCCUGGAGGAAGUAACUGAUUCAUUCGAGCGACCUCAUUUAUGGUAUUCGACUUCUGAAGUAGUACAUGCAUUAGAACUUUUCAUUGCAAGUGGAGAUGAACUCUCAGGAAGCAACACUUACAGGUUAGCCCUUUCAACUUUGGAAUUUAACCUGCCAACGUUGGCUAUAUACACAACUACCUUCAGUAGUUUGUAACUAAAUCAACUUGUCACAUAUAAAUGUACUCAGGUAUGACCUUGUAGACCUGACAAGACAAGCUUUAGCCAAGUAUGCAAAUGAGCUGUUUCUGAAGGUCAUAGAAGCCUAUCAUUUAAAUGAUACCCUUGAAGUAGUUGGCCUCAGCCAGAAGUUUUUGGAACUGGUUGAAGACAUGGACACACUCUUAGCAUGCCAUGAUGGAUUUCUUCUAGGACCGUGGUUGGAAAGCGCAAAGAAACUUGCCCAAGACAAAGAGCAGGAAAUACAGGUUUGGAUCCCAUCGAACUAUAUAUAAAUCAUCAUUCAUCAAACCGAUCAUAUAUACUUAUGUUAACCUGGAAAAAUGAAAAAUUAAUGCAGUUUGAAUGGAAUGCUAGAACUCAAAUAACUAUGUGGUUCGACAACACAGAAGAGGAGGCAAGUCUUCUUCGCGACUACGGUAUGAGAAUUCGGUGAUCCCUUCACAAGAACUCACAUCCUAUACACAAUAAAAAUAUACUGAAAAUCUGUUGUUGGUCUUUUCUAUUUCCCGGUGUUACUAGGAAACAAGUACUGGAGCGGGCUUCUGCGAGACUACUAUGGUCCCCGAGCAGCCAUAUACUUCAAGUACCUGAUAAAAAGCUUGGACGAGGGUAGUGAUUUUGACUUGAAGAACUGGAGGAGGGAGUGGAUCAAGCUCACAAAUGACUGGCAAAGCAGCCGGAACACAUUCCCGGUGAAAAGCACCGGAAAUGCGGUGACUACUUCUCGGUUGCUUUUCGAAAAGUACUUACGAAGCGCUGACAUAGAAUCACCGGAUGAAGCUGCUAUUAUGCAAUAGCCUUUUGAUCGAUCGAGAAAACCUCUUUACUGUACUCCUUGUAAUAAGAAGAGUUUGUAGUUUGAUUAAAUAGUCAAAUGUGGAUUAAAGAAAGGUACUGAUGCUCACGCAUGCAAGCAAGGCAUAAUUAAUUGUGAGUUAUAUUAUAUAUGUGUAAGAGCCGCAUGUUUCAGAUGGUUUCGUUUUCAGAGUUUGGUCGUUUUCAUGCCAGAAAAUGGAGCUCUGGUUUUGACUAACGGGAAUAUACCGGAGCAUGAUGAGAAAUUUCGAGGAGCCGCCAAGAAUAAUUGGACUUCAAUUAUAUUGGUGGACGGCCGGUGUGUGAUAGUUUAAUGUCAUAUCGGUCAAAAAGUCUUGUUCUCGAUGAAUCCAGAAGCUGUGGAAAUCUCACACGCUUAGCUUUACAGUUUCGACUAUAAUUGUGCCCUUCAAACUUGGGAUGUCUUACUUGGGAGUUAGGUAAUUGAUCAAUAACUACUAAUCUCUGAUCGAUCUAAACGAUUCCCUUGUUGAUUCAUGGGAAAAAAAAUAUUAAUAACAAUUAGAAACUCAUUAUACGUUGAUUUGAACAAGAAUGAGUUAGACGUUGGCCAUACACUUUAAAAUUUAGAAUCGAUGAAUAUGACGUGUUGGCAUGGUAAGUUGAUUUGAACCCAUAAGCUCAACGUUAUUUGAUUUUCCAUUAUGCUAUCAAGCUACAAUUCAUCAUCAUUAAAACCAAUAAAUCACAAAUUAAAUCGACAAGGAUUUCUCUAAAAUAUGACUUGUUUACUUAGCUAACCGAUUAAAUCAUAUGAAUAGGUACAAUGUUCUUCAAAGUUACUAAUUAAAAGAGUUGUGGACAGUUUGAUAUAGCAAAUGAAAGGGGUAUUUGGGCAGAAAUUCAGAUAUGCACGAUAUGUAAGUAUAUGAUAUAAUCUUAUCUAUUCAUAACGAUAUAUAUUUGAAGACGAUCAUGUAUCUGUAUUAUGUUAUUUAAUCUUACGGAUAUAUGUAGGUAAGAAUAAGAUACACUGUCUAAGGAAAACACGACGAAUGAAAUUGUUGACAUAUGUAUAUUAAUAUAUAUCCACCACUCACACCUGGACACGUAUCACCAUAACUAUUUUUCUUCUUUUGUUUUGAGAAAACAAAUAUAUUUCCUUAUUAUCACAUAUAUUUUCCACGUAUCUAUCCAAAUUCAAAGACGGUUAAAAGUUUGCUGAGGUUGGACCAACUACUAUAAAACCCUUUCCCGUUUCUCUCCUCUGUUGUAAAAUCCAUAUCGUCGUCGUCAUCAAACCGCUCCCCCUUUCUCUCUCUACCUCUCUAGAUCUCCCAUUCUCCUUUCAUCUCUCACAAUGGAUCACGGAGACAAGAAGCAGUCGAGUACCUACGGCGAGACGACGUCGUGGGCAGACCAGUGGGACUACACCAACAACAACUCGUCGUACCCGAUGGACGUCAAACACGGCGAGCAAGGAACCGCCGCCAAGUGCAAGCAGAAGGUCGGAGAAGGCCUCGUGAAGACCAAGGCCGUCGCCUCCACCGGAGCCAAGAAGGUCAAGGACGGCGCCUCCUCCGGUUUCCAGUGGAUCAAGGACAAGUAUCAUAAGACCACUCACAAACGCUGAUCCAGUAAAAUCAUGCACACCGGUCUUAAUUUUCUUCCAUCUUCUUAGUUCUCUUAUCAUUAUUAUUCACAGACACAGAGAUUGUUGUUUGUUUAGUUUCGUUCGUUUUUUGUUGCGAUGAUGAUUUUCUUGCUGUUCUGGAUUGGAAUUUGUUGAUUGAUUCGUAUCGACGUUGGCUCUGAUGCAUGUACAGAUCAAUAAUACGACUUAUUCUUAGAUUGAUGAAUGGUGAUGAUGAAUCUGUUUUUGGAUUUGGUACUCGACGCGUGAUACAUUUGGUGGUUUUAUUAUUUAGUCAUCGAGUCUCUUUCGCCAUUUUUGCCAAGAAACACGCAUGUAUAAAAGUUUCAUUGACCAAAACUAUAAAGACAGACAAAUCAUCAAAUACACAUGAGUACAACUCCUUACCUAGGCAUGGUGUCAUUUCUCUUUAUUUUAGUUGAAGUGGUCUAUCCCAUCGAAUUACGAAUAGACAGAAAAUGUUGUUUUUCUUUUUUACGUUAGAAAAUGAUGUUAGAAUUUUAUCUCAGAAGUGUCAAGGCUCAAGAGACCUUGCUAUGCACAUGGAUUCUGAUGGAGAAAAAUGUUGUCGAGUCUAUUUGGCCAAUGGGGAAUUUGGUAAGCCAAUUUUUUGCCCAAAUUUGUGUAUCCCAUGAUGGACAACAAAGAACAUUAAUCACUUGAAGCUGAGACGUUGUAGGACACAUCGAUGAUCGCUGGUUUAGCUGUGACAUGUGUUUCGUUGUGGAGAAAAAUAUAGGUCCGGUUCGAGUACGUCCACAUCUCCUAUCAGAAUCGAAGUCUGAAAAAGGCUUGGUUUUUCGUUUUUCGAAUGACAUUUCUCUUUCGAUUUGAGAUGAGACUUCCGCUCAAUCAUUUCUGGCACCUAUUCUUAUCCUGCUGUGACCAUAGGGAAGCAAUGGAUGCAACACUAUCAAGGGCUUAAUUAUAAGCAUGGAAGCCAAUAGCUCUGAUGUGUGUGUGUGGNNNNNNNNNNNNNNNNNNNNGGGGGGGGAACCGAGAACAGCCAGCUAACUAAUGACGGCAUGUCUUGUCCAAAACAAAAAAAACAAACUGAUUACAGCAUAUGGUGAGAAACUGAAAAACACGCACGCACAAGGAUUUGUGAUCCCUUUUUUUUUUAAACGGGAUUCGUGAUCUUAUUAAUGGUUUGCAAAUGAAACCUAGCUAGCAUGUAUUGAAUCGGUGCUCUCCUCGCUUAGGAGGCCAUGGAUUUCUUUACCACAUCAUUGUCCGCAGUAACAAACAAUUUGUUUGGUCACGCUGCGGUUUGUACCUUGGCCUCCAUAGCCUGCUUGCCUUUAUAGAGUUCAGAAUGUAUGCCAUCAUCCUUUGAUAUACAUAGAGAAUUACUGUCCUUUCGACUUUUGAUUUUGAUAAAAGUGGAUGAUCUUGGUGCAGUUUUAGGGAAUUUCACAGCAGGUGGAUUGACAUUUCAAGUGAGUUUAAACAGUUCUUCAUUUCCUCGUGAAGAAUUGGAUAUCAAACGAUCAGACAUUCCAAGUGAGUUUUAUUUUGGAGUUGGUACAAGUGCUGCGCAGGUACAUGUUAAAAGUGAUUUUAUAUUUCUAUAUUGUCUUAAAUCUUUCUCUAGCAAUUAACCAGAAAAAAAUAGAUGUGCAUAUAUUAAUUUAAUUAAUGUAUGGUGCAGACUGAAGGCUCAGCUAAAGAAGGAGGAAGAGGAUCAAGUAUCUGGGAUCAUUUUGUGGAACAGAACCUAGGUUGCAUCUUCAUUACCUUAACAACCUAUUCAUUCAAAUUUACUAUAUACCAGUUAGCUAAAACACACUGCUGCUCUAUUGACGAACAUGAACUUAUUUUGCUCAUUUCACUUUGUUCAGAAACCGAUAAAGUUCUAAACAGCAGCAGAUUCUCGAUCUGCAUCUAUUGAUGCACAUAAACGAUACAAGGUAAGUAGUGUAUGCAAAGUUUAACCAUCCUACAUAUAUAAUUUUAGUGUUCUGAAUUAUAGUAUCUAUCAUAUAUUUGAUGGAAUAAUGAUUUGCAUAUUAGAAGGAUAUAAAAAUCAUCAAGGACCUUGGAGUUAAUUCUUACCGAUUUUCCAUUUCCUGGAGUAGGAUUUUACCAAGUAAGCUUUUCCUCCUUCUUUCUUGAUUCCACAUUGGCACAUUUUACUCGUACUUCUACACGGUUAAGAAAAUCUUGUUUGAUCUACUCUAAUAAGUAUAAGCAUGAAUUUGAUGUAGACGGGAGCUUAAGCGGCUGUAUUAGUCAAGAGGGUAUUGAUCACUACAACAAUGUGAUCAAUGAAAUAGUCAGAAAUGGUAAGAAUCCAAAGUUUUUAAAUUCAUAAAAUGUUGUUUAGGUGUUUGCUGUGAUGUAUAAAUUUUAUGUAUGUCUCCUAAUGCAGGCAUUGAACCUUUUGUGACACUGUUGCACUUUGACUUGCCACAAGCCUCGGAAGACAAGUACAGAGGCUGCUUAAAUCGUAUGUUUGUGUAAGUCUUGAGCUCCCUAAACUCUAAGCAUUGUUGGAGUGUAAACAUGAUUUGGAAGAUAGAUAAUUUAAUCCAUUUUCGGUAUGUUCUCUCUUUCAGGAAUGAUUUUAAGGACUAUAGUGAACUUUGCUCCAAAGAAUUUGGAGACAGAGUUAGAUAUUGGUUCACAAUAAACGAGCCAACAGUUUCUGUAGUGUAUGCUUAUGAACUUGAGAUUGCCCCACCAGGGAGGUGUUCCUUUAAAGAAGGAUUCUGUGUAUUCGGGGCUCCUCCCCCAGGGCCAUGUCAUGUCAGCACCGGAAAAUGCACACCAGAUGCUAAUUCAUCCGCAGAACCUUAUAUUACAGGCCACAACCUUAUUCUUGCUCACGCGUCCGCGGUUAAGCUAUACAGAUAAAAAUACCAGGCACAACAAAAGGGUGAAAUAGGAGCAGUCCUUGUUGCUCCAUAUUUAAUACCGUAUUCAGAUUCUCCGGAAGAUAUAGCUGCAACAGAAAGAUCUUAUGACUUCAACUUAGGAUGGUUUCUAGAACCAUUUGUGUACGGAGAAUAUCCAAAAAGUAUGAAAGUGGUGGUGAAGGAAAGGCUGCCUAGUUUUUCUGCAGAAGAGAAAAGUUUAAUCAAGGGUAGUUUAGAUUUUGUUGGGAUGAACUACUAUAUAUCAUCUUAUGUUAAAAGUAAGCAGCCAUCUCCUACAGAAGAGCCGCGAUAUACAAUUGAAGUUGCAGCUGAACAGACAAGUAUUACUAUUAAUCACCUACGCAUCACAUCAGAUAUGAAGCAUAUAUUUUAAAAACUUUAAAUAUAUAUUCCUUCAUGUUUCUAAUCUUUUAAGCAUUGCAGGUUUGAGCAAAGAUGGAGUUCAUCUUGGCUCAGUAAGAAAACACGGAUCUUUAUGUAAAUUCUUGCUAUUUUUGUUUCUAUCAAUAGUUAUAUAUCUGCAUACGUACCCCUCAUGCAUCUACUUAUAACAUAUAUAUGAUUUACAUUGCAGGACAAUGGAAAUCGGCCAAAAGGUUGGAGGGACUGAUGGUCUAUAUCAAGGAAAAGUAUCAAAACCCAAAAAUCUAUAUUUCUGAAAAUGGUAUUAUUUCUUAUAUAUACUUCAGCUAAGGCACCAGUUAUCCUAACAUAAGUGUUUGUAUCUCAUCCAUGUUUAUUUCGAUCUUUGUAGGACUUCCUAUGUCCAGGAAGGAUAACUCCUCGCUUUCUGAACGAUUGAAGGACUCGGAUCGAAUCUCCUAUAUUGCUAAACAUUUGUAUAGUCAGUGAGUGAGCAUAUUUACAUUACUAAUAUCAUAACUAAUUUGAUUUAGUGAUAUUCUACUUCUAAACUGGUUAAUGGUUUAUGAUUCUAAUUAUUGCUGAAGGAGUGGAGUAAACAUCAGAGGGUAUUUCUACUGGUCUUUAUUCGAAUGGGGUAUGGGAUUGUUUGAGUCAUUUGGACUUCACUAUGACAAUUUGAAACGUAUCCCCAAACAAUCUGCUGAGUGGUUCCAACGUUUCCUUCAGAGAAAUGAUUGCUAAACUGUAGUUAUAUUUUGCUUCUUGGCAAAUAGUUGUCUUUGUGCUGCAAACUUAAUCCCUCGUAAUAAACUUUCAUAAACUGUCAUUUUUGCUCUUCCAACUCAUGCAUUUAUACCAUAUUAAGUGUAUUCUCUUCCUCUCUUUUUCUGGGAAUAAAUUACAAUCACUGAAAACGACGACUAUACGUUAGGUACAUAGAAGACAGGAAGAGCUGUUCAUGUCCCUAUCAAAGCAUCAGUUAGAGGCUUAUUACUAUCAAUGAUGAACACACCCAAGGAGGCAUAGAUGUUACAGAAGUCGAUACUGCAAGUAUCAAAACAAAUUCCACAAUAUUUUCCACUUAAUACAAGUAGUAGAUUCCUCUUUCACCUUCCCAAGCAUAGUUGUAGGUUUCACAUUGUUAACAAGGCAGCGUUUCGCAAACAUCCUGAUCAACUUUAAUCCCCAAGCUAAGGUUUACAACCCACAUCAGUGACAGAGCAUCCCUGUUCAUUUACAUGCAAACUAGAAAUCGCUACAUGUUCCCAAUCCAUCAAAGGCUGCAGAGCUAGCAAUCAAAAUUAAUGAAUGAACAAAUAUAGAUAUCAAUACUUUAAAUGAGUGGUAAUCCUUACAUCACCAAACAUGGAACAACCACAGUUAGAAAUUAUAUCAUAAUAUCUAAUAAGUACGAAUGAAAAUUUUAAUUACUCAUCACAACUUUAAAAGGGGUACAUGUCUGUUUCUAAUAUGUUUCUUUAGAAUUAACGUUUGUUUCAAAAAAAUAAAAAAUAAAAGUGAACGGACAUGUUUGUUCACUUGGCGUAUUUCUGUAUAAACCAUAUCCAUCUUCUUAGUUGUUGCCCCCAUUCCCAGCUUGUCAAGCAGGUUCUCCAAUCCCUUAAUUGAGGUAUCAAACUCUUCUGAAGAAUAAGUGGAUAUCCAUGUGGUAAAACUACUCUCAUAUUGGAUGAAAAGAGACUUCCUUUAAAAGUGAGGAACUUGACACUCAAAGAUGUUUAGGGUAGGGUGUCACCACAACACUUACAAGCAAAUGCCACAUUUUCCUUGACCACAUAUGGGCUCAUUUGUAUCAAUCAUUUAGAAUAUGAUUGGACAUUUAUGCUAGGUUUUUAAUUAUCUCCAACAUCUCAUACACAAUAUUUGCUUCCAAAUACAAAUAAGUUGCUAAAAUUAUCAAGUGGCAUGGUGCAGUAGUGGUGUGCUGAAAAUAUGUAUGUGAAAGUCAUGCAAGAUGGCAAGCACAAACAGAAUGCAAUUAAGAUGAGAUAGAGAGAAUUGUGUGUACUGAUGUACAUAAGCAACAAAAGGGGAUUAGGUGAACUUUAUAUUUGCUUGUUCUACUAAAGAACGAUUAAUACUUGUACACUUCAAAUUCAAAACACAACAACUCUUAGUGCAUGUUGCUCCUCACAAUACAACAACCCCACCAAAAAUAAAAAAAUAAAGAAAAAAAAUAAGAGGGAGCGCGUAGCCGCUUAGGCGGGCUAGGUGGUUGAUUGGGUGGCACCUAGUCGGCCGCCUAAUUGCCCAUAAUUAACACAAAAGCUUAGGUGAAGGAUGAAGCAUUUUGUUGUCGCUUGGCGUCUAGGCACCGCUUUUUACAACAUUGGUGUUUCCAAAUAUGAAGAGUGUGUGUUGUACUCUUUGUGUCGAUCAAAGUUAUUUUUGUCUUACAAGGUUUUUAUUUACUGGCAAUGUUUUUAAAUAUGCAACAUGAACAACACCGGUUAGGUGUUGAUAUACACAAAAAAGAGUGUUGUAGGAUACCGAAUUUGUAUGUGUUUGGGUUGCUUUAACAUUUAACAUGUAAUCUGAUUGCACAAGGAAAACAACAUUCUAUAAGAUUAUAGGAUUAAUUACAAAGUAGAUUAUGAAUAUGAUUUUGAGUUGUGAAAUUCCUAUAUACAUCAGACAUUUACUUAUGGAUGAAAUAGUAACAUUCGGUCAAGUGGUAAAGUCAAAACAAUUUCAGCUGCAAGAGUGUGUAGAAGUAGAACUCGAUAGGAAAACGUGCUGUAUCAAUCAUAUCCCAAGCCAAACUGAUCACCAAUCAGAGCUGAACUCAACUUCUUCUUCAUCAAUAAAAGAGAGUCGAACUAACAUCGGUCCCCAACUGCUCAACACUAUCCAAAGCUCAUCGAGAAAGACAAGAGUGUGAUAAUGGCGAUCCAGAUACCGAGUCGGCAGCUCUUCAUCGGCGGCGAGUGGAAGGAACCAGCUCUCAAGAAACGCAUCCCCAUCAUCAACCCCGCCACCGAACAAAUCAUCGGUAAAUCUCUCUCUUUCUUCACUGAUUCAACUUGAAGGUUUUGAUUCAAACUUGAUGUGUUAUUGCAGUGGUGGGUUUGUGAUGAUCCGAUCAAUGAGUUUUGUUUUUGUGCAGGGGAUAUUGCGGCAGCUACAGCUGAAGAUGUGGAGAUUGCUGUGGAGGCGGCACGGAAGGCUCUUGCCAGGAACAAGGGGAAAGAUUGGGCAUCGGCGCCGGGGGCGGUUCGUGCCAAGUAUUUGAGAGCCAUUGCUGCUAAGGUAGUUUGUUUCUCUCAUUAUUUGGCGCUGUCAUGGUUUUGUUCUUGUAUGGAUUUGUUAUGUUUUGCGACGGUUUGUGUAUGUUUUUUUAGUUUAAGAGUUGUUGUUUUUUGGGUGUAGAUAACAGAGAAAAAAUCCGAGCUAGCAAAACUCGAAGCAACUGAUUGUGGGAAACCGCUGGAUGAAGCCUUAUGGGACAUGGUAUGUACUGUGUAGUGUGAUUCUCUCUGGGUGAGUUUUUAUUUGUUUUGUGUAGUUUCUUAUGUCCUGGCGUGUGCAAUGCAGGAAGAUGUUGCCGGGUGUUUUGAGUACUAUGCAGACCUUGCUGAUGGUUUGGAUAAACAGCAAAAGGUUUCUAUUGCACUUCCUAUGGAGACAUUUAAAACUCAUGUUCUUAAGGAGCCGAUUGGGGUUGUUGCGUUGAUUACUCCAUGGUAUUUGCUGCUUCUUUUCAUUAUAAGAGAUAAUUUUACUUGAGGCCUGUACUUACCUGUUUGUUAAGUAAUCAAUCACCGGUGAAACUAAAUUCUGGAUUUCCAAUGGUCCUAGAAACUUUGGUUGGCAAGGAAUUUUUAUGGGUAUAUGGUGGUUUUAUCUUGUAGAUGGUCUUUCGGUGCUAAUGUGGAGAAUCUUUAUGAUUUAUAUGUUAAUGAAUUGCUUCUUUCUUAUGUUUAGGAACUACCCUUUAUUAAUGGCUACAUGGAAGGUAGCUCCUGCCUUGGCUGCUGGGUGCGCUGCAAUACUGAAGCCGUCUGAGUUGGCAUCAGUGUAUGUCCUUCUUUGGUUAUAUUUACUUACUUCAGUUCUUAUGUAGAUAAUUCUAGUUAAAGCUUAUCAUCAUUUAACAAUUAAUUUCAGAACUUGUUUGGAGCUAGCUGAGGUGUGUAGAGAGGUGGGUCUUCCUCCUGGUGUCCUCAAUAUUCUGACCGGGCUGGGCCAUGAAGCUGGCGCUCCUUUGGCUUCUCAUCCCCAUGUUGAUAAGGUUCAACUCCAGCUCCUCUUCGUCUUCUAUUGAUAAUCUUGCUAUAUAUGUUUCUUUGAGUUGUUUCAGCUACCAUGUUGUAGUAGCUUAUAAACUUGUGUUCAACAGGUUGCAUUUACUGGAAGUACACUCACAGGGAGCAAGAUUAUGUCAGCAGCAGCUCAACAGGUUAAGGUAUACUAGCUCCAUAGUUUGGCAGUCGGUCAUUUAUUUUUGUUUUUACAUUCUCUUCAUUUGAUCUUCAUAUACUUAUUCCUAUGUCAUUUGUGGUAGCCUGUUUCGCUGGAGCUUGGAGGGAAAAGCCCAAUUGUUGUUUUUGAUGAUGUUGAUAUUGACAAAGGUUAGCGUCUUUUGACACCAUUCUUAAAUAUGUAACAUCCUGUAGAACUAGUUGUUCACGUGGAAUCUACACGUUGAAGCCAAAUCAUGUUAGAAAUAACAUGCAUUACAAUUCCUGGUACCAUAAUGAUAAUUUGUUUACUCUAUGAUACAAUCAGCUGCUGAAUGGACCGCCUUUGGCAUCUUUUGGACUAACGGUCAGAUUUGCAGUGCAACAUCCCGUCUUAUACUGCAUGUAAGUAUGAUAGAUAGUUUCCUGUCUUAUCCCGUCUUACACUUGCUUUGAUUCUCUUCCGAAUUGCAUCUCUAGAACUGAACAUAUAUUGCUUGUCAAUUUAACAACUCUAAAUCAUGUAGUUAGUGGUAAUUUUGUGUGACAUUAAUCAGUUAGAGUCUGCUUCCUUGCUGAACAUAACUAAAAUGAAAAUAAACCUAGCUGACUUGGAGUUCUUAUCUUAGUGCCAUCUUAAAACAAGCAUUCUCCGUAUCAUUUUUAAUUCCUUAUGCUUGUUUCAGGAAAGUAUUGCAUCAAAAUUCUUAGAGAGGCUUGCUGAAUGGUGCAAAAACAUUAAGAUUUCAGAUCCUUUGGAAGAAGGUUGCAGGCUUGGCCCUGUUGUUUCUCAAGGGCAGGUACAUAUUUAUGCAUUUUUAUUUUUAUUUUCAUUUAUUUCGCGUAGAGGGUUUUCUAUCAACAAGUUCAUUAAAACACUUAGACAUCAUACCUAGAUAACUAUUGUUAUCCCGGUAAAUGUUAUUGUUUCCAUGAAGUAGUCUAGAUAGAUGCCAGGGGAGGGUCGUUAGAGACUUAAUAAGAUACCGCCCUCUCCUCCCUGGAAAUAUUUCAGGAUUGUUGUUUUGUGUUCUCCAAAGACUCUUGCCUUGAGUUGGGUAUGGGUAGGGAAGGUUGACUUCACUAUUAAGUAUAAACCUGUUCCACUAGUGUAAAGUUUUAACAUUUCAACUGGGUAAUAUCUCUUAUCCGAAUAGCUAUAUCUAUGCUAAAUGGUUCCAAGACAGAUUGGUCAAAUUUGUUCUCUUAGAAGGAAGUUCUUUGAUUCAAGGCUGAUAAAAUGUGUGGUGAUGUUUGUGUAAAUAUUAGAGUCCGCAGAGUUUUACAUGCAUUUGUGCAGAUUAUAUCAGCAUUUGCAGAUGAUAAUGAUGAAUUCUUGGUGUUUGUCUUCGGGGAAAUAAUAUGGGAAAAUCGGAAACUUUGUUGUAUCUACUAGAUCAAAUUUUUUUCUGUGUAGACUUUCUUGUUCUCGAUAAGUCAUAAGUUUAUGAUUGAAGCAUCUAAUAUUUGCUUCUUCUGUCAGUAUGAGAAAAUAUUGAAGUUCAUCUCAACAGCUGAGAGUGAAGGCGCAAAAGUUUUGUGCGGUGGGGUUCGUCCUGAGGUAUAACCUCCUCUACCUUUAUCAUGACCAUUUUGCUUUAUGACUUGUAACUAACACUUGAUUUAUUGUACAAAUGUAUGGCAGCAUCUGAAGAAAGGAUAUUACAUUGAACCAACCGUCAUCACCGAUGUGACUACCUCCAUGCAAAUUUGGAAAGAAGAGGUUUUUGGACCUGUUCUUUGUGUCAAAACAUUUAGUUCAGAAGAAGAAGCUAUUGAAUUAGCAAAUGACACCCAGUGAGUCGACUCUUAUUUUUCCGUGUUAAUUAUGUGGAAAUUUUUUUUGGUUGGUUUUGUUUUGUUCUGGGUCUACUUACAUCUUCUAGUUUUGUGAUUGGAUCUGGGUCUUUUCUAACAGUUUUCAUAUUUAACAGAUUUGGCUUGGGUGCUGCUGUCAUAUCAAAUGAUCUAGAAAGGUGUGAGCGUGUUUCGAAGGUGAGACCUCUCCUUUUAAUUCUAGUGCAAUGAGUCUUCCUUUCUGAUAUUCAUAGAACAGCAUCUUAAUCAUGUGUUGCGUUCUCUGUUCUGUUUUUCAGGCCUUUCAGGCAGGAAUUGUCUGGAUCAAUUGUUCACAACCAUGCUUCACUCAGGCUCCUUGGGGUGGCAACAAACGUAGUGGUUUCGGGCGUGAAUUAGGGACAUGGUAUGGCUGUAUCCAAACUAAUACCUGAUAGAAGCAUAUACUAGUUGAAUUUAGUGUAACAACCAGGCUGUUACUUCUGAAAUAUAUAAUUGCUGAUCAGUAUACUACAUCCCAGUAUUAUUAUGAAUGAACUGCUGAUGGUAUUAUAUCUUUUCUCUUUUCAACAGGGGACUUGAGAAUUACAUGACUGUGAAGCAGGUUACUCAAUAUGUGUCUGAUGAACCUUGGGGUUGGUACAAGUCACCUUCACCUUCAAAACUGUGAAGUCUCCUACAAAUGGAACCGGGUAAACUGCAAGUUGCUGAUAUAGAAGAAAUAAGGGGUUAAUUUGCACUAAAUUGGAUGUAUAAGAACUAAAUAAAUUUCUGAAAUAACUAGUUAAAGUCUUUUUAACAGUGGACUCGCAUGUUUUGUAUUCAGAGGUACAGUUAGGCUAAUAGUGAUGAUAGAUUAGCCGCAUUGCAGUGACAGUGUCACUCGUGGGCUAGUGCAACCUAUAAGGAUUACAUUAAGUUAUGUAGUCUGGAUUUAAUACAAGUUGUAAGGUGGAACACAUACAAAUCUAACCCAUGUCUGGGUUGGUUAAUCGAAAUGUUAUUGCUUUCCGUUGUUGCGUGUGCCACUAGGGAGAAAGGUCGAGAGUUGAACGUCACAGGGGUUCGUAUCAACUACAAAUCUUUUCAGCAUCCAACUUAAUAGAAUUAUGUACAUUCUUGGUGACCACCUUAAUCAAUUGAAAGGGAAAGGUCAUUAUUAUAUAACAAGCACAACCUAACGUUUUCCGGCCAGAUCAGUCCACCUCAUCAGCCAAAUCUUAUCUCUUGUGGUCAUUUUAGACGCGUCCACAUCCAGCCAAAAAAUAUCAAUGUUUUGAUCCUAGAUUCCUAGAUCAAUUACCAUAACUCUACCACAUAGCCUAGACUUAUGAAGGACGAUUGGUUAAGUAGCAUUGUAGCAAUAGCUUGAAGUCAUUUGUGGUAGGGUUUAUUUGAGCUCAUUUACAACAAGGGCUACUUGUCAUUUAAUAGGAAUGUUGUGUUAUUGGUAUGUAUGGUUCAAAGUAGUCGUCUGAUGUAAACGUUUUUUGGACGUGGAUUAAUCAUUAAAAUUAUUUAUUUUAUCAGAAAAAAGAUUCAAUGUUUACUCUAACGGUUGAGUGCCUAACCUAACUUUUUUUUUUUUCUAAGAAUGAGACGGUUUUCUAUUUGCAUGUAUAUUCAUGUUUUUAUGCCACAAUCAAUCCUUUAUAAAAUAUGUAAAGAGUAAUUUAAAGACAGAACCAAGCUUUCUUUUCUUAUCAAAUCCUGUUAACAAAGUUGGUCUGCGAAGAACAUCAAGUUACAUUUUUCUUCAAGGAUUGUGUUACAGUGUUACAUUGGAUUGAAAUAAAAACGAAGAGAGUUGUAACCAAAAAAAAAAAAAAUUAGAAAUAAAACGAAGAGAGAAGAGGAUAAACCAGAAAAACAUUUAUUGGGUCCCCUAUGAUCUGAGGCAAAUCCAUAGCUGCGGGAUUCAUAUUCCAAUGGUCCCACGCAGCUCCUUCCCAUCUUCCCGAAAAGGCAAUGACAAAACAAAACGGAAGCUUCGUUGUUGGCUAAGCUUGGCAGUGCUUAUCAGCAGCCAGUGGUCAUGUUUCUACCAUUUUCUGCAUUUCCACCUAUAUUCACCGACACUCUCUUUUUACUGCAUCAUUCCUUGCCCAGAUUUCACUUUAUCCUCCUCUUACUUUCUCUGUUAAAAAGUACAAAUCUUUCUGCGCAAAACUGUAGCUUUCUUGUUCCCUAGUGUGUUGCCCAUACAGUUAUGCAUUUGGGUUCUCUCAGUUCACUGAGGUUGUUGAAGGUUCUGGUUUAAUAGCAGAACAGGGUUGUUGUUGUUGUUGCCUUUUGAGGAUCUGGAUUUGUGUUAGAGCAAGAUGGGGAGCUCAGAUGAGAAAGUUGUGGCUGUGAUCAUGGUGGGUGGGCCCACUAAAGGUAUGAAAGUGUUUGAGUUACUGUGAUUAUUGGAUCCAAUAAUGAAUUCCUAUUGCAAUGAGAUCAAUUUGAUUGUUGCCGUAAAUUUUGAAAAGCUAUGACUUAAAAUGGUGUAAUUCCUCAUUUAAGUCUGGCAUCUGUAUUGUAUUACAAUGUUGGAACUUGGUUCAGAGUGUUUUGUAGUUGAAUCAUAAAGUGAUCCAUUAUGCUUUUCUUAAUAUAUUGGACGUGUGGCUUGAAAUGAAAUCAUACAGGCACUAGAUUCCGGCCACUGUCAUUGAAUAUUCCGAAGCCACUUUUUCCUUUAGCAGGACAACCAAUGGUUCAUCAUCCGAUUUCCGCUUGUAAAAAGGUAUAUUCUUGAACUUAUAAUUGUCAUUGAUGUGUUAUUAUAUGCUUAGUAGUUUUUUUUAUAAGAUUCUAUGCUUGGUAGUUGAAUAUGUUUGUUUGUAUUACAGAUUUCUAACCUGGCACAAAUCUUUCUCAUUGGUUUCUAUGAGGAGCGUGAGUUAACAUUAUAUGUAUCCUCGAUCUCUAAUGAGCUUAAGGUCCCUGUUAGGUGAGUUUUUGCCCUUUUCUUUUGUAGUAAUUGGUUUCUAAUCAAAUUUCAAAAUGUUGAAUUGGCUACGGACUUUUAGUUUACUGAUCAUUUGUUGUGUUUAGAUAUUUGAGGGAAGACAGGCCACAUGGUUCAGCUGGUGGACUUUAUAACUUCAGAGAUCUAAUCAUGGAAGACAGCCCGGUUAUUACCUUUACCCUACGACUUCCUGUUAGGGUUAAUUGAUCGAGUGUUGUCUAUUCUUUCUUUAUUCCUUCUAAUUACUCUUUCAAAUCUCUCGUUUUGCUUUUCCUUCUCUGUAUUGUGCAUAGUGGUACGCUCUUAGAAUAUUUUGAUGGCAUACUUGCUCAAUAUUAAUGGCAAUUUUUUUGUAAUAGAAGAUACUGAUUUUGGCUCUUUCUUUUGCAUGCAGUCGCACAUUUUCUUGCUGAACUGUGAUGUUUGCUGCAGUUUUCCGCUUCCAGAAAUGCUUGGUAACUAUUUAAUGAGCUGCUGAUGUUUGUGAAGUGUUAGCUUGAUAAUUGUUCAUUUUAUGGCUUGCAGAAAUUGAUGCCUUUUCAUUUCUACCUGCAGAGGCUCACAGAAAAUAUGGUGGGAUGGGUACGAUCCUGGUCAUCAAGGUUAGUCAACAGAUGCAUUAAUAGAAUUCUGACAAAGUUAAAUUUUCUGUUGUUAUAUACCAACUCCAUGUCCUAUAUCUAUUUUUUGUGUGUAUAGGUUUCUCCUGAGUCAGCAAGUCAGUUUGGGGAACUUGUAGCUGAUCCGGUCACCAAUGAACUGCUGCAUUACACAGAGAAGCCUGAAACUUUUGUAUGUUUGAGAUCGGGUUUUUUAGCCUCAGUGAACUUGAAUUGGGAUUUCUUACCUGCAUUGCCUCUUCUUUUUUGUUUUAUCCUUCUGGUGAUAUUGUUAUUUUAUUCAGGUCAGUGACCGGAUCAAUUGUGGUGUCUACAUAUUCACACCAGAUAUUUUUAAUGCCAUAGAGGGUGUUUCUUCUCAGAAGAAGGACAGAGGUCAGUGAUACAUUGUCCAUGCAUAGGCUCUCCUAUGCUAUUUAUGUGCUGUAGUAUAAGAUUUGCUCUGCAGUGGGUUGUCUUUAGUUUAAACUUUAAACUUUCCAAAUAAAAACGAAAAGCUGUGUUGAUCUGGCAGUUCAGCUUUCAAUAAGAACUUGGUAUCUGCUUUUUUGCAUGAGAUAGUAAGAUAUUUCGACACAUUCGACUUCUUUCACAAAUAUUGAUCAUUGUAGUGAUCACCUCGCAAAAAGAAACCUUUAUCGUGCUGACAUGUGAACUCUCUUUUAUUUGCAGCUGACUUAAGACGUCUAUCCAGUUUUGAAGCCCUGCACUCCGCAACAAGGUUUCUCCUUACUCUAGUAUAGAAGGACCUAUGUACUACAAUGAAUCUUAUAUAUAAACUGUUACAGGGUAUCGUGACGUAUCGACUCGUUAGAGCCUGUUUGGUUUUUCUGUCCCAUAAUAGUUUCCAGUCGUUUAAACAGAAGAAACAUUGAAAACCUUCAGCCAAAUGAGCUUUUAGAACUACCUCCAUACUUUUAAAUUUUCAAUGGCUGCUACUCUGCUAGACUAUUAUGAAGAAGUUUUAUUAGUAACCCUUAGCUGAUACAAAGUUCCUUUAACAGGAGUGCAUCCACACAUUUUGUGAGGUUAGAUCAAGAUAUCCUAUCCCCUCUUGCAGGAAAGAAGCAGUUAUAUACAUAUGAAACCAUGGACUUCUGGGAACAGAUUAAAACUCCUGGGUAAGAUUGGCCUAUCAACUGUUGAUUUCUUUGAUAACCUUUUCCCUCAUUGAUCUGAAUGAACUGAUAAAUAUUUUGCUUUCCCUGCAGAAUGUCCUUGAAAUGUUCUGCUUUGUAUCUUUCACAAUUCCGAGUCACCAGCCCCCAUCUUUUGGCAAGUGGAGAUGGUUCAAUGAGUGCCAGUAUUUCUGGCGAUGUUUACAUUCAUCCAUCAGCAAAAGUACACCCCAGUGCUAAAGUAUGAACACUGAACGAUAGUAUUAUCAUUGGCCUUGAUCAGUUUUUCCUCUGCGACUCUAGUAAUGUAUUAACAAUCUCCUAAUAUCUGGUCCCGCAGAUUGGCCCUAAUGUCUCAAUAUCUGCAAAUGCUCGUAUAGGAGCUGGUGUGAGGCUCAUAAGUUGUAUCAUACUCGACAAUGUUGAAAUUAAGGUAUACAUCUGAAGAAAAGGUCGCAAGCGCAAUAUAAACUCAAAAUUAUUGUGCUAACAAAUUUAUAUAAUGUUUUAUGUCAGGAAAAUGCUGUUGUUAUUCAUGCAAUUGUUGGAUGGAAAUCUUCCAUCGGGAAAUGGUCUCGUGUCCAGGCAAGGCCAUAAGUUCUAUUGCUAUCUAUAUUUAUUAAGAUAACUAUGCCUACAACUGUUGCAAUUGGGUUUCUUAGUUUUGUUUGCUAUUAUGAUUUCAGGCUAGUGGGGAUUACAAUUCAAAGCUUGGGAUCACAAUCCUUGGUACUUGUCCUUCUAAUUUUUGUUUAUACAUCAUCCUUUUUUUUCACUCUUUCCUUCAAAAUCACAUAAUGCACCAUCUGAUCUGAUUACUAUUUCUAAUAAUCCAGGUGAAGACGUGACAGUUGAAGAUGAAGUAGUGAUUAUCAACAGCAUUGUCCUCCCCCAUAAGACACUCAAUCUCAGUGUUCAAGAGGAAAUAAUUCUUUGAUAAGUUAAUGGUAGCCACCCAACUUUGCAUUAUGGCUUCUCGCACUAUUAUACAGCUUUCAUUGCUCUUUAGUUUCAGGACUUGUGAUAAUAGAGCUUAUUGUUCAUUUGUAAAUUCAAGUCUUGCUAAUAAAAGAAGAUUAAUAUCAGUUAUCAUCUUAUAUGUAGAUUUAGAAAGCUAAUUUUGAAUGAUUGACAAUGCCAAACGUGGGCAAAUCCUCUUAUAGGGCUCCUAAACAAGUAGUGGGAAAACCGAAUUUAUUUCAAGAAUCAAGUGGAAGUCAUUUUUGUUAAGCACUCGACUGUUGACAACAUUUUGCUCUUUGUGAUAAGCCUUAUGCAUAUUCUUGUUUCCAGAAACUUUUAAAUGCUAAUGUUAUUGACUGGAGAAAGGAGCAAAUAAGCGGCCAUGUACAAUAUACAACGUUCACCUCAACAUAAGCAUCUGUAACUAGCAAUCAGUAACAUAAACCAUGAAAAGAAUCUGUAUUGAAUGCCGAUAAAGAGAGUGACAAAUUGUUAUAAGUAUCCUGAGGAUUGCUAUUCUAACAUGGAGCAUAGAGAAAUGCAUCCAACACGGGGGUGAUCCCUUCUUUGUCGAGUCAACAAUGAGAGCUGAAAAGAAGCAAUUUCCUCAAUCAUCUGGGGCAUGUAAUAAAAAUGGAGAAACAUCAAGCUUGGAUUGGCUUCUCAACAACUUCAGAGUACCAUGACUUCCAUGCUUCCAUGUAAUGAGAAAACAGCUCCUUCACAGCUGCAAUGUAGAUCACACAAAACCGUUGGAUUAGUAAUUUGCAUCAAAAACUGUAGAUCUAUGUUGUAAAAUUGUAUUUAGAUUGGGAUUUCUGUGACUUGAGUGUUUUAGGGGUUGGGGCUUUUAUAUUCAUAUACCAUCAAGUAGGAUUUUCUUGUUGGCUAGCUCUAUUUCCAUACUGCGUUAGGAUAGCCUAUAAACUAUCCCUACUGCAACCUAAUGGAGGAUACUUGAAUCCGAAAUCGAUUAACAAAUGGAAACCUAACUUCCCCUUGUUCUUGAUCUUCUUCUCUCCCCUAGUCUCCCGUUCUGUUUAUCUCUCUUUCCUGAUCUCUCCUCUUUCUCCCAGUAUUUCCUCCUUCUCCUACAUCAAAAAGUGUCCGAGACUGAUGAUAAUACACAUCUUUUAAGAGAAAAACAGAGCUCUCAAGAGUAAAGAUCCUCAUCAUUCAUCUCUUGAUACAAUAAACACAAGUCAAGGCCUUUGUUGGUUUCCGGACGUGAAUUUAAACCUAAAGAGUCCUGUAUGCUGAAACUGAGUAGCUGACUUGUGAUAAAUGAUAUACAAAGCACCAUUUACUACCCAAAAUAAAAAUAAAAAUAAAUUAGUGGACAUUAAGCUGAAGCAUAAGAUGUUACCUUGAUUCUGAUACUGGGGACGGUAAGUAGAUGAAAAAUUGUCCCAGUCAACUUUCUUCAUGUUGAAAUUCCCAGCUCUGGCAAUAGUGACUGGAGCAAAAGGACCAAACUGGUAGCUCUUUGUACCUUCUCUUGAAUCCUCUGAAUUGUUCUUAUCAACAGUACGUACUAUGCUCUCACGUUGCCUUACUGUACUCUCAUGUUGCUUUUGUAUCUGAGCUUCCAAUUUCCCAGUAGUAGAAGAUUCUCCUUUACCCCUCUUAGAACUGACAUUUGUGAUAUCUGUUCCAAAAGCUCUUUUUCUAGACUCGUCUGAAGCUGAACUUGCGGCAUCUUUUCCUCUCAAUCCUAACCACUUGUAUGCAGGCUUCCUUGUAUCUGCUGUGUGGGUCUACAUAUUUUUGAACAAGGGCACAGUUUAGCUUGGCAGUACAUUAUACUAGAGGUUUAAGUAAUGAUGAAUUCUAAAAUUUCUCUAUUAUAAGUUCUAUAUGUUUUACCUUUUCAAUCAGAUUCAUGGAGGACAAAACAUUUGCAAUAUCAUAAAUCCGCCUUACUUUAGCUGCUUCAUCAAGUAGAAAAAGGCAAGAGUUUCAGUUCCUUUUCAAGUUAUAUACACAAAUAUUCAAGAAUAAACAAAUGCAAGUACAGAUUUCUUACUUCUCAUUAUAGAUGCAUUGUGUACAUCCCCAAGUAAUAACUUCGCAGCUUCAUCAAGGGAGAUGGAUUCUACCUACAAGUUCAUACAUCACAAUAAAAAAUCACCCAAAAUGACACAGUCAACUGAUGAAGAUUUUAAUCAACUGAGCAAGUAACAAUAAGCAUUGAACUUACAGUGGAGCAGACAAAGAGCUUCACAAAAUUCUGUGUAAGAAGUGCAAGAGACUUUUCCCUUCUAUUAUCUGCAAAAGUUAACCAAAACAAAUUGUAGGAUGUAAGAAAAACAACUUCAUCAAGUUAGACCAAACCUAAAAGACAGCAUAACACUGUAGGAAUGAGUCAUCAAACUACAUGUGGCAAUCCAAAUUUGUUGUUCCAGAACCAAAAUUUGUAGCACUGAGAAGAAACAAGACUUACCAUUUUUCGAGUUUGCUGAAGAUUUUGGAUUUGCACCGGGAUUCUCAUUCUGACUCCCGGUCGCAGGACCACUCUCAUCACCUUCCUCAUCAUCCGAACCCUGCGAACACUGUAAAAUAAGAAACCACAAUAUCUUAAUCACCAGAAUCAAAAACCAAACCAAAAAGAAGUAAAAAAAAUUAUAUAUAUAUAUGAGGGCCCUUCUACUAAGGGAUCCCUUUUUUUUACAUAUAUGAGGGAUCAAGCAUUAGAUCUACUUUUCAAUCACAUUUUUCAAUCUUAACUGUUCAGUUUUUAGGUCCUAAUAUAUAGAUCACUUCUGCAAAAUUUCAUCCAAAUUGGUGAUCGUUAAGGUGUUCAAAACUGCGAAUUAAAAUUAUAGGCAUGAACGGUUCAGGUUUGGCAGAUUUGAUCCAUCAAUUGAUUUCAGUUAGUUCGAAGCCUUAACGAUCACCAAAUGGGAUGAAAUUUUACAGAAAUGAUCUACAUAUAUACAUCUAAAUAUUGAACGGUGGAGAUGUUGAUAUGUGAUUGAAAAGUUGGUCUAAUGCUUGAUCCCUCAUAUAUGUCAAAAAAAGGGAUCCCUUAGUAGAAGGGCCCUAAUAUAUAUGUACACACACACAUAUAUCUCACAGUUAAAAGAACAAUCCUUUCACUUACCUUUGGAUCAUCACUGCCCUGGAAAUUUCCGUGGAAAGUAUUGAAGUUCUCUUUCAGACCGGCUUCCUAUCAUACCCACCAAACCCAAAAUCAAUCCCACAUUUCUCAUAAAACACAAGAACAAAAAUAAAAAAAUCAGAUCCGAAUCUUCAUCAACACUAAAAAAGCAAGUACCUUUAGCUCCUGCAAGGUAUCUGGGAUUGCCCCAAACCCUUUCCAAGAAUAUUGAUUCUUCGCCUUUCGCGCAAGAACCUGUAAUCAAAAAAAAAAAAACCUCAAUUUGGCCCAAAUAAACCCCACCCCAAAUUUCAUAAUUAUAACAAAAAGAAACUGACCCCAACGCUCUCAAGAACAUUAACGAUAUCGUAGAUCCGCCGCCUCUCAACUCCUGCACAUUUUCCCACAGACAUCAGAUCCCCAAAUAUCGACCGCCGCAAAAUUUCAAUAUUACAGAAAGAAAUUAAACCUAAUUUUGAAGCGGCGUCGUCUAGGCCGACGGAGGUGACGCCUUCGCGGUCGUACAAUGAGAUGAAACUGCAAUUCAAAGAUUCCAGAAAUGUGAACAAACCAAUCAGAAAAAAACAAAAUUGAAGAGAGAGAAAGGGAUGUACUUGGAGCAUAAGAGGCCGAGAGACUUCUGCUUCCGGCUGUACGAGUGGUGCCUGGUGGAAGUGGUCUCCGGUUGUGUCGGCGGCGGCGGAGGCGGAGGUGCGGCGGGGUCCAUGGUUGUUGGUGUUGAGAAAUGGAGGGAAUUGAGGUGGAGGAGUGAGAUUAAUAGAGGACCGUUAAGGCGGGGGAGGGUUUUAGGGAUUUGAAAAUUGAGGGGGUGUUGGGUUUUUAGGGAUCUGAAAGAGGGAGAGAGAAGAAGAAGAAGCCGCCAAGAAAGAGAUGGUUUUUGGUUUCAAAUGUUUGAAUGAGCGGGAAAAUCUAACGCUUAUUUUGGAUUUAUUCGGGUUUUUUGCCGGGCUUUGCUUCGGCUCCCGCUUUUUGGUUUCCAAAUAUUAAUUGGGCCGGGUUAAUGUGUUUUUUUAUACAUUGACGGAAAUUUUCACUUUUAGCAAGUGUUUUUUGAGUUGUUUUUUCCUUCUCUUUUUGGCAUUUGAUUUGUUUCUACUUUAUCCAUUUGUGACUUUAUUAUUCAAUUUCAUCAACACAAUUGUUAUUUUGUAACACCAAUAGAGCGAUUGGAACUUGGAAACAUGGUGGUACAAGUGUAUCUACAAGUACUAAGAAAUCUUAGUCAUUCAGUUUAAUCUAGUUGUUCACAUGGCAACAACAACAACACCAACAACAAAACACUAAAAAAAAAAAAAAAACCUAAAAGUUAAACAAAAAGUUUCAUUACUUCAGACUUAAUAAUAAUAACAAAUCAUUAAAUACUGGUAAUUAGUAUCAUCUUAAGUUCCUCACUACAUUGAUAAAUAUCGUUGUACAACUUAUGAAAUGUUCUUAAUCUGAUCGACUGUCGAUUAGCCUAGUAUCUCACUCUCGUACCUUAUGUGUCUUACGAUCAUAAAAGCUUUAGAAUUUUUUUUCUCAAGCAACUAAUAUGACAUUGACUAGUCAUUUACUAUAAUUUGGAGACCUAUGAUUGACUAGUCAUUUACAAGAUAUGAAAUCCUACCCCAUUUCUCAAGUGCUAUAACAUCAUAGCAAUAUUUUUCAUUUGGUUUCAUGUCGGAAACACAUUCAUACAAGAUUAGAUCUAUUAUUGCUUUCUGGUUAUUGCCUUAUGAGCUGAGAUCUGUAGUCAAUUGUACCCUAAGUCUAAUCGGACUAGAUUUCCAAUUUCUCUAGCUUAGUUCACAAAAUCACUUAUCAUUUUUAACCACUCUUUAAUUUCCUCUAAUACCUGACAUAAUUUCUCAUUUACCCAAAUGCUAGAGCUCCCUUUCAAGUGUGAAGUAUAGAAUAAUUAUUAUCAUAACAACUGGUAUAACAGUAUAUCAAACAUGAAAUCACACUCUAUACUGUGGAGCCUUAAAAACACAGUUUCUAUUCUACAACAUCAUAACGACUAUAUGACAAUUAGGCCCGGUCUUGAUUUCAGAACAUGCAUUAGAUAACUGUUUUUGGAUAACAGAACUGUGUAAAUUUCUGUAAAAGAUAAGAUUUUGGAUUAAUGUUUAAGCAAAAUAAUGCAAUAAUGUGGUAUGGUAGUUCAAGUUCAACAUUCCAUAUUCUCGUCUAUCUCUGAGGUUUCUGUUAGCAUCGUUCUCACCAAAAACCAAAUAUGUUACUGAUGUAAAUUCAUGACCUCAUCUCAUGCUCCUUUCAACAAACUAUCCGUGGAUGACCUUGUGGAUGACCUUAUUCUUGUCUAUCUGUGGAUGACUUUCUGUUGAUGAACACAAUCUUUGUAUCAAACAUAUCGUAAACAUAUACUUGAUCACAAAGCUCAAUGUCUAUUCACUAAGGUCGAGGACCAGUUACUAUUGCCAGAAUAUAUGUGUAGAGUCAGAACUGAUGAAAUUGAUCUUCUAACAUUAUUCCAAGCUUCUAUCUAACUCAUGUAUGCCGCUUGAAAUUGAACUUAAGUCUGAUUUGCUUUACUUCAGAAAUGUGGUACUGACAGUAUGAUCUUCUAAAGAGAAGUACAGUAAUCAGUGAAGAACCACAAUUUAACUAGCUUGUCAGUUCAAUGAGCGACACUUUCAGCUUCACGACUACUAGAACUCCAACUAACCUGGCAAAAUUGCAUCUGAACAAUGAGUAGGUACAUCCCCUCCCCCCAUUUGCCUCCCUCAACAUUUCCCUGUAAGUCGUUGCCACAUUCCAGUUUGAGACCAGCAACAACAACAGAAGCUACACAGCGUCAAUUGCUAUUGUGGAUGCGAUGGUGGACGAGGCCAGCAGAAAUAAAAACUCCAGAGAACAUCAUGCAUGAUAACAUCACUCAUCAAAACCAAUCCUUGUUCUGACAAGUUAAACAGGAUGGAACAAGCUUCUGUUGAACCUUGAUGAGCACGAAGCACUGCAAGCAAUCAUGUCUUCUUCUUUACUUCUUUGUUUUACUAAUUAAGCCAAUGACACUCAUGACUUGUUCUCCCGCACAUGGUACUUAAUCUCCCAAACACUGGAAGAUGGUCAUCAGGGAUUUAUAACCCUCAAAUUGGGUGCUACAUAUCUACCUCGUUCAAUACUAGUUUACAAGUAUAGCCAGAUCAUUCUAAAUACUAGUUUACAAGUAUAGCCAGAUCAUUUUAAAUACUGUAAUGGGACAGCACAGAAGAAGGUUUUGCACAUAAGAUCGAGCGUGACUCCUCAAUCUUCAACAUGAAUGGGAAAUCCCUUUCGAGCGGUAACGGGGUUUAUCCAAUGACCAUUUCAUAUCUUCGUAAUUCAAGUCUUUGUGAAUUCUGACAUGGUUUAUAAUCUGACCUGACGGGGAAGACGGCCACAUCUGCUCUGCGAUCUGAGAAUCUCUUUUGCAAAACCUUGAUUACCAGUUAACAAAAGCCCGUCCAGAACCUUAUUAAAGGUGUAUUUCCGGGGCAAAAAUCCUCUAUCAACCAUCUCAAUUAGCAACUUCCCUGCCACUAACAAAUCUUCGGGUUUCUUCCUCACAAACAUGGCACUUAUCAACACAUUGUAUGUAUCCAAAUUAGGCAAGCACUCUCCCUUACCCAUCUUCUCAAACACAUCCAACGCCUUAUCAAUCUGCCCAUCAUCACAAAAGUAACGAAUCACAACAUUAUACGUCUGAACAUUCGGCUCACAAUCAUCAUCCUUCAUCCUCUCCAUCAACUCCAUCCCGCUGUCCAUAUUACCAGCAUGACACAGCCCUCUAACCAACACAUUAUAAGUCGUCACAUUAGGCACGUAACCCUUACUCACCAUCUCCUCAAAAACCACCACCGCAUUCUCCACGCUAUCCUUCUUACACAAAACCUGAAUCAGCGCAUUGUAAGUCGCAACCGAAGGAAGCACCCCCUCCUCAACCAUCCCAUCAAAUAUCUUCCUCACCUUCUUAAUCUCCCCCAAAACACCAAACCCAUGAACCAGAGUGGUAUAAGUAACAACAUCAAUCUCACAUUUCCUCCUCUUCAUCUCCCUAAAGAAUUCCCAAGCCUCCUUAACCUGUCCAGCUCUAAGAUACCCUUUAAGCAUUAUGUUAUAAGUAACCAAACUCGGCUCGAUUCCUCUCUCCACCAUCUCCCUCAAAACCUCUAACGCCUUGGGAGUCCUCUUAAUCAAACACCACCCAUUAACAAUCACAUUAUAACUAACACAAUCAGCUCUAAACCUCCCCCUAAACACCUUAAACAAAUUGUAAGCCUUUUCGACACGCUUAGCUUUACAAAGCACAUCAAGAACAGUAUUGAAAGAAUUCAAAUCCUGAGGGCAGCCAUGUUCAUGCAUCGAAAGAAACACCUUGACAGCUCUAUCGGGUUUCCCGGCGGCGACGUACCUCUCGGCGAUGAUGGCGAAGGUUCUCGGAGCCGGGCCGACCCGGAGGGCGCGCAUUCGGGCGACGAAGGCCCAGAGGGACUUGUAGUCGCGCAAGCGGCCGGCGAUGUCGACGGCGUGGUCGUAGGAGGAGGAGGAGUGGGUGUAGGUGGGGUGGCGGUCGAGGGUUUUGAAGAAGAGGAGGGCUUUGGGGCCAUGGUUCCAGAGGCGCUUGAGGGUUUUGUUGACGGAGUCGGGGGUCCAGUGGAUGUUCGGGUCGUGGAGGAUCCGGGUUAGGGAUUGCGGGUCGGAUUUGAGAAUAAGGGCGGCAAAGGCGGCGUCUUGAGGCGGUUGUGAUGGCGGUGAAGUGGUUAGGUUGUGAUGAGAUGGAAUUGAGAAAGUGGGUUUUGGGUGUUUCUGUGAUGGAGCUGUGCGGAGGAGAGUGUACAUUUUCUGGGGCGGUUAUAUUUUCCGGUCAGCCCAAAACCCUUCGGGCUCGAGAACUAUUAAAGUACUUUCUUUCUUUUUUUCGAUUAAAUAGAAACAAAAAAUUUGAGUAAAUAAUUUGAUAGUGUGUUCAAUGCAACUUUAGGGAGAAUAAAUUUAAAUUUUCACACAAUAUCAAGUGAAGUUUACCACACAACUAAUCAAUUCAAUCAUCAGAUAGUUUCGACCAGGUUAGAUGGAAGAUAUGUAAUGACAUAUUCUAGCUAGCUUGAGCUAUUUAUGUAUUGGGACGAUAUUCAUUUAAAAUUGAAUUUUAUGCUUGCAUCUAAUUUACAAAGUCUCAUCACAUAUUCUUGCUAGCCUGAGCUAUUUAUAUACUGAGAUGAUAUUCAUUCAAAUGGAUUUUAUUAACUACAUUCAACUUGCAAAGUCCCAUCGCUUGAUAACUUGUGUUGUAUUUUUAUAAAUAGUUGGUUAACAAUGUGUCGUACACAAGUUUGUUUAUACUAGAUAAUUGAAUUCCUAUUAAGGUGAAUUGUGAAAUGUUAUAUAUCAUUUUUUACAUUCAUCUUUUCUUAUAAAGAAUUUAAUAGAUGCUCAAUUUUUAAAUAGAAUUAGAAUAUUAGGUUUAUCCUGCAUAUGAACUAUCUCAACUUUGAUUUUUGUCGUUAAUUUGUUGUUAUAUAAUGUGUGUAUCUAACAAUAUCCAAUUAUUCGUACUUGUGGUGUAAGUUUAUAUCUUUGAUUAUGUGCUAUCAAUCCUGAACUCCAUGAAUUACUAGUUCACUACAUGAAUACCUACGGCUCUAUGCAUGAAUAUAAUGAACAAAAAUGUUCAACUGACCAUCAACUGACCAAGAUUACAUUGCUCACAUAUCGAUGGACGCUUCCCUAAGUUUAAAUAGGACCAGAUUGCAAAUAUCAACUAAACACAAACCAAAAAGCGUAAAUAGUGAAACGAGAGAAACCAUAGUGCAAAAUGUUAGAAGCAAACAAACUAAAAACCUACCGAUAGGACCAGUCCACCUCACCAUUUUCGAUUUCGCUCUUUUUUGAAUCUAUCUGGGCGCGGGGGGUCGUUCACUGAGCUCCGUCACUCACGGCGCACGUUAUAGACAACCGCCGCCAACGCCGCAUGUCAAAUCCAACCGUCGCCGCCGAGUAACGCCCAAUCGAUGAACUUGAAAGACAACUACCGCAUCGAGCUUCGCGCCGCGAUUCGCCAGCUAACCGAUCGUUGUCUCUACGCCGCGUCCAAAUGGUAAACCCUAAAUCCCCAAAUUUCCCAACUCUGCUCCAAAACCCUAAACCCUAAUUGAACCAAUUUUGUAGGGCGGGAGAGCAAUUGGUGGGCAUCGAGCAUGACCCGGCCAAGUUCACGCCGGCCAACACCAGAUUCCAGCGCGGCAGCUCCAGCAUCCGCCGCAGAUUCCGCACCACUGACGUCAUCUCGACGCCGAUUGCCGGCGUGUCAUAUGUGUCGACUCCGAUUAUGGAGGAGGACGAGAUUGUGGACGGCGAUUUUUACCUGCUUGCCAAGUCUUACUUUGAUUGCAGAGAGUACAGAAGAGCUGCUCAUGCUCUUCGUGAUCAAGGCGGUAAAAAAUCAGUCUUUUUACGCUGCUAUGCUCUUUACCUGGUUAGUUACUUCAAGGUUCUCUUCUUUUUUUCGUUUCAGAUUUAUGUGUUACCAUGUAUUGUGCAUUUACUAAUCCCAUUUAUGUGAGUUGGUUUUGAUUCAAUUAUUGCAUUAAAGACUGCUGCUUGAUGAGUUCUGCAACAAAUUUAAACAGGAGUGGUUCAGUUCCGAGUGAUUAGGGUGUAAGAUCCAGAAAUUAGAUCAUACAGUAGAUUUGGAGUAAGAGCAGCUUCGAUUCCGUAAUUAGGAGUUCUAUUAGACUUCUACAGUUUGGUUUCAUGAUAUUUGAUAGAUAGUUUUUAGUUAAAAUUUUGUAGGUUUCUUAUAUUGAUACUUAUAGUUGUAUGUACUUCUUUGUUUUAAUUGCUUAAUGAAGGCUGGAGAGAAGCGAAAAGAGGAAGAAUUGAUGGAACUUGAGGGACCACUAGGAAAGAGCGAUGUUGUGAAUCGUGAACUGGCUUCUAUCGAGAGGGAGUUAUCGACUAUUAGGAAAAAUGGUACAAUUGAUCCUUUUGGACUGUACUUGUAUGGCCUCGUGCUGAAAGAGAAAGGCAAUGGGAACCUCGCUCGUACAGUUCUUGUGGAGUCUGUUAAUAGCUACCCUUGGAACUGGAAUGCCUGGUUAGAGCUGCAGUCCUUGUGCGCUACAGUUGACAUCUUGAACAGCCUUAGUCUCAAUAAUCAUUGGAUGAAGGAGUUUUUUCUAGCCAAUGCUUACCAAGAACUAAGAAUGCACAAAGAGUCCUUGUUGAAAUAUGAUUAUCUACAUGGCAUUUUUGGUUUUAGCAAUUACAUUCAGGCUCAGAUUGCAAAAGUCCAGUACAGUUUGAGGGAAUUUGAUCUAGUUGAAGGAAUUUUUGAAGAUCUUCUCAGGAAUGACCCUUAUCGAGUGGAGGACAUGGAUAUGUAUUCCAAUGUGUUAUAUGCAAAGGAAUGUUCAUCGGGACUGAGUUACCUUGCCCAUAGAGUAUUUAUGACAGAUAAAUACAGACCUGAAUCUUGUUGCAUCAUUGGGAAUUAUUACAGCUUAAAAGGGCUGCAUGAGAAAGCAGUUCUGUACUUUAGGAGGGCACUCAAACUGGAUAGAAAUUAUUUAUCUGCUUGGACCCUUAUGGGUCAUGAAUUUAUUGAGAUGAAAAACACGCCAGCUGCUGUUGACGCUUAUCGGCAUGCUGUAGAUAUAAAUCCGAGUGAUUAUCGUGCUUGGUAUGGAUUAGGACAGGCUUAUGAGAUGAUGGGUAUGCCCUUUUAUGCUCUUCAUUACUUCCGGAAAUCAGUAUUUUUACAGCCAAAUGAUUCUCGGUUAUGGAUUGCCAUGGCUCAUUGUUAUCAAACUGAUCAGCUGAAUAUGAUUGAUGAAGCAAAGAAGUGUUACAAAAGGGCAGCAGAUUGUAAUGACAGGGAAUCAAUUGCCCUGAACGCCCUAGCUAAGCUAUAUGCUGAGGAAGGACGUAUAGAAGAAGCAGUUUAUUACUACAAGAAGGAUCUAGAGAGGAUGGAAGAUGAAGAGAGGGAAGGACCUAACAUGGUUGAAACACUCUUCUUUCUUGCUAAAUACUUCAGAGAGCAGAAAAAGUUUGAAGAAGCAGAGGUCUACUGUACCCGUCUUAUGGAUUAUGCCGGCCCAGUGAGUUAUAAUUCUCUUUCUUUUAUAUCCUUAACCAAAAUAUAUGUAACCCCCUGCUAUGAGUUUUGAAAUUAUGAGUCAGUAAGUAAUUUUUAUUUCUUUGUCCAUCACUGCAGGAAAAGGAAAGAGCAAAAAGUUUACUCCGCGGAAUUAGAAUGGAACAAACUGGUGCUCCUUUCAUGGAUAUUGAGCGCUUUCCUCCUUGAUUUCUUGUCAGGACAUAUUACAUCGAUCAACUUCAUGAGCGAUGGGAGUUGCAGUUGAGCAUAGUCUCUUCUCAUGUAUGAUUUAGUAACUGCUAUGCUGAAGGUUUAUUGGUCUGAUUGCUGCAGAAAGUUCAAGCCAGCUCUAGCACUCUAGUCUUGUCUAGUCUUCUAGGACAAAAUUUAACUUCAAAAGCAUUCCCUUCUCCCUGUUGUGGUUUUUCUUGCCUUGAGCUGUUUUUAUAAGCCUUACUGAAUUGUAAUCAGAAACUAUUAUUUUGAUCAUUAUUUGAUUAUCUUCUGUGUGGUCUGAACUUCAUCUGUUGCCUAUUGACAUUUGCAUACUGGUGACGCUAGAAUACAAUUACAAAGAUCAGGUAAAGCGUAGGAGUACCAAAUUUUAACUUGAAUUUUUCAAAAGAGGUCAGAAGCAUAGCCAAAGAACAAUACUUCCAUAUGAAGUCUAUCAGCAACCAACAACAAUAUGAAUUCACGCUUAAGGAAACAUUCACCAUUGAAAUCCAAAUUCACGUUUACAUAAUCAUCACCCAUUGAAUUUAUUUCCGUUGUUUACCCAAGACAACCGGGUUAAAUUUAACACAACCACUUCAGUUCCAGUUGCCAAAAGCAAUUUCAAAGUCACCAUCCCUGAUGAUUUCCCCCUUCGCAUUAUGAUUACAAUCAUUUAGCUGGGUCAGCGAAGAAGCUGUUGAUGCCUGGCAUGAUUUCCGGGGACCUGUUGCGGACAAAUUUCCUCAGCAUAUGCUCCUGAUACUUUUCUCCCUCAGCAAAAUUAUCCAGUACUCCAGCAGCCCUGUUCACCUUGGACACUCUGAUCCAGUAAUAGAGAGAAAAAGACAGUAUCAUACGUCAUUAUGACAUCCAUGAUAACUACGAACAAAAGGAUCAUUCAGAUGUUUACACCAUCAAGUUCAUAAUUUGAUACUCAUUAAAUCCCUCUUUUUUAGUUUCAUGACCGUAUUUCAUCAAACACAGAUUACCUACACUUAGAACACCACACAUGCUCAUUAGUUGAUUGAACCUAUUCGAAUGGCUAGGUUGCUUGUGAACUCAUUUCCGGUGAACUGGCAAUCUGAUCAUGUUUCUAAAUACUAAACAUACAUGUACACACAAGGUAAAUCUAUUUCCAACAACACGAGAAGUCAAAUCCCCUAUUCUUUUGGUCUCAUUUCAUCUACUCAGCCUCUCUAAUCAGUAAUCUUGGAGCACCAGAUCAGCUCAAGUUUAGGUUAACAUCAAAAAUCCAAAAUAAGCCCACAAAUUUUGCAACAUAAACAAAAAUAAUAAUGGGUUUUUCUAAUACUAGUGUCACUUAAGCAUUUCAGCUCUGAAAGUCAGCAAACCAAUCUUCCACAAAAAAGGAAAUCAAACCCAUUAAAGCAAUCAAAUUAAAGCAACAAGCUUUGAAGACCAAAUUUCCAUAUACGGGUAUAAAAGUACAACAAUACGUAUAUGUGUACAUUUAAGGGGAGAGAAAGAGAAACAGACCUGACUUCAGGGUUGAUACACAUAUGGCGGACCAUACUGAACCCACAGAUCCCGACGGCAGCUCCGACGGCCAAGAAUAGCGGGUAAACCUUCAAACACAGCAAAACGACGCCGGAUUAGCACACAAAGACAGAAAUCAAAGCCGAUAAUAGCAAAAGAGAAAUCAGAGGGGUAGAUCUGACGGCGUACCUCAGGCCUCAACCACCGGCUAGCCAUGGAUUGAGAUGAACGGAGAAAAUCGAGAGCUUUUGGUAAUGCGAGAAGAAGAAACAAGACUGAGCUGAGCUGAGCCACCAAACUUAUCCCUGUAGUUUUUUAUUGCAAUGGUUGCGUUUGAUUGGCCCACUCGCUGCGAAUCAGUAGUGGACACGUCACUAAGUUAGCGUCCCAAGGUCUCGGUUAUGUAGUUUUAUAAUAGGAAAAUGAUAUACUAUGGGCGCCGUUCCGAGUCUUGGCACUGUUAAUGCAACGACACCGUUUCAGUUUUAGUUUUUAAUCCAAAGUUAAGAAGCGAGAUUAACCAUUUUCAAUUUUCAGGCAACCGAGGCUACCGGUGUUAAUUAGCGCCUCCGCCAGUAAAGGAACCCCUAAUCCAAGUUCAAAUUAGUGCAACUUCCCCUAAUCCAACUUCAAAUUAAUGCAUAGUUAAAACAUUUCAUUCGUGUUAAGUUACGCACUCCGAAAUCUAUUGUAUGCUUUUCAACUAGGGUGUUCAUAUUAAGUUUUCAGGAACCUUGAAGAGAACUGAGAACUCUAUGAUCUGCAGAGCCGAGUAGGAUGUUAGAAAAUAUAAUACAGGAAGCCAAAUCUAAAGAGUCCAAGACCGCUGCAAUGAGAGACAAAUUUUCUGGCUUCUGUAAGCAUGCUGCUUUGAGCGGAAAAAACAAUCACUAGUUAUAUGGCAUGAUUGAAACUAUUGGCCCUGUGCAGUUUUUGUGGGAGAUAGAAGCUUCUUUCUUGUUAAUUUCAAUGGAUUUGAUGCCUCCACUGCGAAAGUUCAUAUGAAAACGGAAUGCUGAAAGCACAGAUUCACAAUACUCCCUUGGCCACAGUUUCUGACCCCAACCAUUGGCUCGUCAGUGAUUUAGAAUCAGGUCAGGUCGUCAUCAAUAACCUCUUCCGCUAUCCAUCUUUGUCAAUUGUUGUGGCGUAUACGAUCACGCCACGAACCUUGUUUUUUAGCAAGUACCUACAAAACCAUGGUAACAGUUAAUUCAAAUCCUCUCCACAUACCCAUUAUAUGAUUUAUAUCCCUUAAUACCACAAGUCCAUCAUUUUUUGGCCUAGCAGUAUAAUUGAAUUACCUUCUCGCUUAAGAGGCUUGGAGGCUCACUUUCUUUGCAGUCCUUACUAUCAUUCUCUGCCUCAACCUCACCGUUUAUCAUAAUGGAUGGUCGAUUAUCUGAUGCACCAAACAUUGCCUCAUCAUGAGCAGCUUUGAUCCGCUCCUCCCUUUUUGUCUUUUCAUAGAAUGAGUAACAUUAGUAACAAACCACAUUUUCUAAAAACAAUUAAACUGGAACUUAAAAUAAGUAUGACAGAAACAGACAGUAGAAAGAUACCUCAUAUGCUGAAAACCGAAAGCUUUUGCCAAUGUGAUUGACGAGUGCUGCAUCGUCUUCAGCAACUAUAAAGAAAAAAAAGAUUUACAGUUACUAACAUUAUUACUAUAAAGUCUAUAAUGAGUCGCAAACUUGCAACAUACAAUCUAAAUAGGUCAACUUGGCAGUAUAAUUGAUUAUUGAGUCGAAAGUCAAGAAUGAGCUACUUAAUGAUACAUUUCUUUCUCAUCCAGCCUAUGAUAAUCAGUUGACAAUACUCUGCAAACUGUGCAGAAAAUUAGAAUUCUAAUCCUGGAUAACUAACAUGCAACAUAUCUAUAUGACCAGGCUGGAAUCACAUUCCACCAUACAAUAUAGUUUGCCAGAGUGUGAUCAACGUUUCUGAUAACUAGCUUUGGUGGCACAAAGGUCAUGCUUUCUGUUAAUGCUAGUCUAGUUUAGACUAAUUUACACAAAACUUGAGCUUACUUACUAAACCACUAUCCUCUCAAAAACUUGAUCUCAUUUACCAUAGGAUUAGCUCCCAAAACGUGAUGUAUGAGAGCAAGUUAUACAAUCUUCAUCACAGGAGCUGCUGAUAGUUUAUAUUUACUCAUGUCUGAGAGACGUGAAACUUAUGUAGAACAUGGAUAACAAGAAGAGAGAACAGUUACGAAGCCAACGAAUUAAAUUUACAUGUCCCAACUCCUAACUUACACUAAACAAAAUUUCCAGAAAAGAAAUCUGAAAUAUUUACUUUCUAGUAAACAACAUGGCAUGGUUAUAUUGAUUACCUUCAAUUUCAUCAUCGUCAAGUGGUGCAUGUUUAUCAAAAUCAAAUCUUUCCCAACCAUCCAUGCCUUUGGUUGUGUCCUUCUCAGCUGCAUUUAACAAAUUAUGGUGAUUAGUUUGCACAGCUCUAAGCAAACGCAAACAUUACAGAUUAACACAUUCCACAGACACGAGCGGAGACUCACCAGUUUCAGCAAGUUGGAGUUUCAUCUUUGCUUUUACUCUCUCGGCUGCAGACUGUUCAAAACACAAUUACAGAUUGUAUCACACUUCAAAUUCUCAGAGCCAAAACUAUACUAAUAAACACACACAAUGUUUGCAUAACUCUACUGGCGCAUAAUGUGUGAUCAUUUCAAUCCGAAAAAAUAAGCUUCAAAUUCAUUAUUGCACUCCUAAAACUUCAAACAAAUAAUUCAACACAGAAUCAUACCAUUUUGUCAUAGCCUUGAAUCAAUUUCUGAUAGUCAUGACCACCACUCCUCUCCUUCUCCAAUUUACCUCUGCUCUUCUCCAAACCCCUCUCCCUAGGUGGCGACGAGCUCCGGCUCCGGCUCCUCCGCCGCUCAUUUCUCCGAUUCCGAGGAGACCGACUCCUUCGUCUCCUGCCUCCGUCGUCAGAUUCACUUCCAGACCUGCUCCUUCUCCUCCUCCUUCUCUCUCUAUCUCUAUCACUGUGUCUCUCUCUGCUCCUACUCCGAUGCCUCGAAUGCCUCUCUCUGCUUCUACUCCGCUUCCUCGAAUCCCUAUCCCUCUCCGAAACCCUAGGCCGCCGCUUCUCCUCCUCUCCGGCCAGCUCCUCCGGCUUCUUCCUCUUCAGCUUGCUCUGAAUCGACUGAAUCUGCGCCUGCUUUUCGAGCUCCGACGUCUUGCUAGGGCUGGAGGCCUUGACGAAUUUGCUCAUGAACGAAGACGAGGAACUAUACGCCAGCGCCGAGCCGCGCGCGGGGGCAUUUUCGGAGUCGGACUUGGCCGAAGAGAAGCCGAGGCCUUGUUUGAACCUGGCGGCGCCCUCGCCGCGCCGGGUUAGGUCUUCGUAGUACGCCGCCGCUUUCGCUUCCUCCAUUUUUCGACGACGGUAUGGGAACUUUGGCGCCGUGCCCAACUCGGUGGCGGUCCUUUUUGACUGUUACCAGCUUAACGACGUCGUUAUGGUUUGGGCUUGGGAUACUUAACAUACAGAUGGGACAGUGGCCCAUACGGGAAUGAGAACUUUAAGGCCCAAGACUCGAGUCGUAAAUUUUUUUUAUUUUUUAUUUUAUGUGAAAUCCAUACACCCACUUUUCAUUUUCAGUAAUCAUUAUUAUAUAAAGACAAAAUUUAAGUCAUUAAAAACAAAAUUUAAGCUACUAAAAAAAAAAGUGAGUGUGUGGAUUUUAGUUUUUCAAUGGUGAACUAAAAGAACAUAAAAGUUACAAAGAAAAUCCUCUAAUAUGAAAAUCAAAAUUGAAUGCAGGAGAAACAUAAAGAGGGAGACUUUGAUGCCAGCUUGCACUGGAUGUCAAAUGGCUAAGAUUUGCAAGAGCGUUAGUAAGAAAUUUAGUUCUUACCAAAUAUGUCAAAACUCAAGUUAAUCAAAUAAAGUGGGUGUCAAAUACCAUUGAAAAUAGUCUUAAUUCUUCAAGGAAUGGUGCAAACUCUGUUAAUAGCAUCUAUAAGGAUCUUAAAAUCUCCUUUUCCUUUUUGUAACUCAGAGUCGAUGUGAUUGUUAAAUGCAUCGAGUUGGUGUUGAGUCACUCAGCAUGACUUAUUAGAUAUAAAUUGGAAACACAACAAAUAAACACUCGUUAUUGAUUUGCCCCACUUGCUUCCCAAUCCAGGUCCUAUAACAUGUGAGUUGGCUACCUUGUUCUUUUCUUUCCCAAACUUGGGAAAGCAAUAUAACUACAACUAGUGGUUCAAUAGAUAUAGCAACCAGAUCUUUGUGCGGAGGAGUCAGCCGGACGUGACCUAAAUCCAAUUCAAUCCCCAAAUUAAGUAACAAUCCAAUCCCUUAAUCUCUAUCAAAUCCCUUGCUCUAAAGUCGAGGUACUUGUUCUCGGUGAUUUUCAGUGCGGCGACAUCGAGCUCUGGCUGCUCUGAAGUAGACAGAGCUUCGGUUUUCUGCGGCUCCUCCGGCGGAUCAUCCUCCUCGUCGGCCCAACGUUUUACCUCGGGCUUCGCCGGCGGCGGGGACGCAAUAGUGGCGGACUCGGCAGAAGGAGUUUCGACUGGUGGCGUCAUUGUUGCUGCGUCGGUCUCGGCCAUGUAGGGCGGUAAAAGAUGAAGUUUGGAUCGGAGUCGAGCGCAGGGGGUUCUGAGUUUUGGGUGGCCUUGGAUUUGGGUAAAUUUUGGGUACCCAUGGGUAUUACCCAUACCCAUAAAAAAAAAACCAAUGGGUAGUUUUCAAUUACCCAUUACCCAGAAAAAAUACCCAUACACAACACUCAUCCUCAGAAUUUAAUACCCAAACCCGUAGGUUUUAAUGCCAACUUUAGUUGAUACUCAUGAAUUUAAUAUUUGUGACCUUAAACUUUGAGUUUGUCACCAGUUAAUGGACAUUUUCACUUGAAAGGAAAUAAUAGACAUUUAAACGCAUUUUUAUUCAUGGUCAUAAUAAGACAGUCUUCUUAUCAUUAGGAGGAGAGAAAAAACUAUUAUCAUUUGAAUAACGGCGUGAAUUUGAGUGGAAUGUAUUCACCAGGUCUAAAGUUUUAAGCUCCUGAAAAUUGAAGAUUAUACAAGUCCUAUAAUGUUUUAUGAUAUUAUGUUGAUCAUCAAUGAAAAUUUACAUAUGGUAGCUACCAAAGAUCAUUAAGGACUGUAUGAUGCAAUACCACGUUUCAUUAUGAAUGUCGACAAAGCAUAUUAUUGGCCAAUUGGAUAGAGGCAAUUCCAAUUAAACUGAAUAUCUAAAACGUGAUAAGAUAUUUAGACCUUUAAUCCUACAUGAUACAAAAGGGUAUAAUCACAGUGAAAAUAAAUCACUAUGACACAAUGUCUACAAGAGACAUGGGGAUUACGAAUAUUUUUUCUUAUACGUGACAAUUUUCUGUAAGUACAGUGUUACAUAUAAUUAUCAACGAGAGACUUACGGCAGUUGUCAUCGUAUAUUAUGAGGAUCUUAAAAGACUUUGCUAAAGGUAAAAUCCCAAAAGUAAAGCAUCAUUAUAAGCGUAUCGCUUAUAAAAUCCUUAAAUUAUCCAAGUACAUGAAUGAUUCGAACGUAAAUCGAUUCAAGAAUACUUGAGAGAGUCUGAAUGUGAAUUCCUCAUCGCCUAAGGGAAAUGACGUGAUGUGCCUUAUACAUGCAAACAAAAUUCCCAUUAGUGAGAUGUGUCUUGGGUUAGAACCCAAGAAGAAAGCCAUGAGGGGGAGGCCCAAAGGCGAGCAUAUCUCGUUGUGCUGGGCUGUUAAACUAAAGUUAACUCAUGCAAUCGAUAGUCUAAGGCUAGCUCAUGUAUACUUGUUCUGUUAUAGUUAACAUGAUCAAAAUUGCCUCAAUAAGUAUUAUGAUUGGGCUACAAAACGAAAUUCGGAUUAUAUUGCUACAUAUUCUAACUUUCGUGUAAUUAUGAAUUGCUUAGAGCUCUUAAAGAGCUUAUACGAGAUGCAUCAAUAAACAAAGAUAUUGAUAUGAGUGGCUAGAUAUGCCAUGAUGAUCUUCCAAUGGUUUGAAUCAUACAUAGUAAUGUGUUAAUUAACUUCUAUUGCUUAGUUAUUACAGUGUAUGAAUUUGAACAUGUGAGGUUGUUUCUAACAUUACUAAUUAAAUGAGGUAAGACCUAUUAAAUUGUAUAGCUCUCUUGGUAUUACUUUCACUUUGCAGGUACGAAAAUCUUGUGAUGAGAGUUAUACAAAACAAACAAAAUCUCACUUCAGUGAUAGACAAAUCAAACUGCUAUUUACGGUACAUAAAGUUUGCAACAAUCAGGGGGAGAAUCUCAUCAGGAGGAGCAUCCAGAAGUAUGCUACCUAGAACAUAUGUGUGUUGCACUCUUUUUCUCCUUCGACCAGGGUUGUUUUUUCCCAUAGAGUUUUUAUUACCUAACAAGGUUUUUAACGAGGCAACACUAAGCGCGUCCAACAUCAUAUUAUUGAUGGACAUCCAAGGGGGAGUGUUGUAAAUAUUUACAAUCAAGUGUCUGUUCAUUCAUCUUUCGAGGACUUAUAGGCAAUAUCUUAAUAGUAUAAAGACUUAUAAUGUAAUAUCUACCUCUAUACAAAGGAGGCAUAUGAGACAUAAUAAGAUGUUUUUCUUUCUCUCCCUACAUUUUGUUCUUCUCUUUUCUGUAUGUCUUAUUCUUAGUUUAUAUAUAUAUAUAUAUAUAUAUAUAUAUAUAUAUUACUANNNNNNNNNNNNNNNNNNNNNNNNNNNNNNNNNNNNNNNNNNNNNNNNNNNNNNNNNNNNNNNNNNNNNNNNNNNNNNNNNNNNNNNNNNNNNNNNNNNNNNNNNNNNNNNNNNNNNNNNNNNNNNNNNNNNNNNNNNNNNNNNNNNNNNNNNNNNNNNNNNNNNNNNNNNNNNNNNNNNNNNNNNNNNNNNNNNUUCUUAGGAGACGGAAUACUUUCGUCUCCUAAGCACUUAGGCGACGGAUUUUAUUUUAUAAUAAAAAAAAUUAUCCACUUAGGAGACGGAAUAGUUGAAUUCCGUCACUAAAGGCUGAAAAAAAAAUUUAAAAAAUAAAUAAAAACGCCACCGCAGGUUUUUUAUCCACUCACUCCGACCGCCUCAAAUACCACCACCACCGCAGGUUUCAGAAAUCACAACUAAAUGUCUUGAACUUCUUCUCAUCCUGCAUAUAAGUAGUAAAAACUUGCAUUUAUAAACUGCAUAUGGAAAAAAUAAAAUUUACUGCCCCCAGUAAACUUCUACUGGGGAUCAGUAAACUUGCAAAAAAUAACUCCCUUUCAAUUUCAGGGGCACAACACACAAUAUAUACCAAUUCUUACCUUAAUAAAGAAUUUUAUUGGCCCCUAGUGAACCCAGAAGAAGUUUACUGCCCCCCAGUAAACUUCUACUAGGGGUCAGUAAAAUUCAAUACAUUAUCUCCCUUUUAAUUUCAUACUAAUUAUACACAACAAAUACUCGUUCUUACCCUAAUAAACAAAUUCAUUGCCCCCUAGUAAACCCAGCGGAAGUUUACUGCCCCUUAGUAAACUUCUACUAGGGGUCAGUAAACUUCAAUACAGUAUCUUCCUUUCAAUUUCAUAUCAAUUAUACACAACAUAUACGCUUUCUUACCCUAAUAAACAAAUUCAUUGCCCCCUAGUAAACCCAGUGGAAGUUUAUUGCCCCCCAGUAGAAGUACUGGGGGUCAGUAAACUUCAAUACAGUAUCUCCCUUUCAAUUCAUGCCAACAAUUUGCCCCAAAUAUACCACCACCACCACCACCGUACCAAAUAACCACCAUGCCACCACCAUCAUACCAAUCACAUCCUAACCAAAAUUAAAAUCAAAAUCAAAUUAAACAAAAACACAUAAAUCUAUCAUCAAAGCUAAUUAAACCAGAAAAAUUGAAGCACUUACCUUGAUUUCUUACCCCUUUUGAAAUUUCAAGGGACGGUGGUGGGUCGGCGGGAAGGCUUGGUAGAGAGAUAAAGGUGGCGGCAACGGCGUUUGUGGUGACCCAGGUCUGAGGCUUGGUGCAAGAGAAAGGGACGAGAAGCUUGUUGGCGGUGGGGACGGGUGAGUCGGGUCGGGUCAAGAGGGGGAGGUUGUUGGCUCCGAGGAGGGUGCGGAGGUGGUCGGAUGAUGUUGAAGAGGGUCUUGACGGCGUUGAGAGUGGUGGCGUUUGUGGGGAUGAAGUCGAUGAGCUCGUGGCAGUUGGUGGGGGUGGUGCAGUUGAAGGUGGCGGCUGAGGAAGGAGCGGUGAGAAUGGAGAGAGAGGCCGACUUGAGAGUGAGAGAGAGAGAGAGAGAGAGAGAGAGAGAGAGAGAGAC